ACGACCCUAAACUAACCCCCACAUCCCUUAAAUAGGUCUGAACGCCCCCAAACCCUUAGAGACUCUUUCAUUCCCUUAUCUCUCUCACCCUAACUAAACCCUAGCCGCCUAGGAUUCCUCAGCCUUUCUCCACCAUUCUCCGCCGUCCGAAAAUCGCCUCACGACGGCGGACCACUCCCAAACCCAACCAAAUCACUACUUCAUACUCCUCACCUCACCCUCGUCAUCAAUCCACCAUCAAUUUUUCCCAAAACCCCACCGAAUUCCUCUAAAUUCAAAUCUAAAAAACAGAAACCCUAACUUUUUCACCUUUUUUGAUUUUUUUUUGAGUUUUCGAGACUCGAUUUGAUCAAAACCUACGCUAGUUGAUUGUUUUCAGCGAGAACGAUUGAUUAGAGUCAUUUUUGGUCUAUUUCGAAGCUCGCCCGAUUCCAACCCAGUCAACACCGACCGGCCAAACCUCGAUGCUUUCAUCGCUCGUCGAUUCAGCUUCCAGCAAAAAUCAGUAUCUUUCUCUUUUCCCGUUAUCUCCGUUUUUUAUUUUUUUAUGUUAUCACUUAGGUUUUGGUUUUAUCUUUGUUUUUGUUUGUUUUGUUCUUCAUUACUGCGUGUUUAAUUAAAAAUGGGAUUAGUUUUUAAAUUAUUUUUAUGAUUAUCUAGUUAGCCGCAUUGUUAGUUAGUUUAACCAUAUUUUGUUUAGCUUAAUCAACCUUAGUUAGCUCAGUAAUUUACUUAGGUUUAAUUAAUGAAUCAUUUCUGUUUGGUUUGUUUACAAUGUUUCCUGCCUCAAUUAGUUGCUUAGUAAUGUUUUGAACACACAUUUGGAAACUGUAUGGGUGAAAAGGGUAAUAGCAAGAACUUAAAGGGGUCAAUUGGGCAGUUAAGAAAUGAAGAAAUUUCAGAUAAAAUAUCAGAAGCUUUUAGUAUUAGACAACUGUCCAUUUUUAGUGUUAAAAAGAUGCUGAAAAUUGGAUAAAAGGAUAGAUGUACUAAAAUCUGUUAAAAAGAUGCUUUCUUAUCCCUUUUUACAGCUGACAUCUCUGAAAUCCAUGUUGGAAUAUUCUCUAUAAGACCCUCUCUCAUUCAUAUCCUUUUGCAUUCCUACACUCUAUAUAAAGGACCUCACACUCACUCACACAUACACAUUAUCAUCAGCAUACUUACUCUAAAAUGCAUCCCUGAAUACUGAUUUUUAUUCUCUCUCGAGCUUUUUUUUCCAUAUCAGAUAUAGAAACAGGAAAAAAAUUCUCAAGGCUAUCUUUCCUUUUCUCCAUUUUCCUACUGGUUUACUCCAUUUAUGCUAGGAAUUCGAGUUUGAUUGUGGGUUUCUGGUUCUUUCUGGCUGUUGUUGCUGUUUUUAACUACUUGUAGUGUUUUACUUCUUCUCCAAAGCCAGAUAUUUAUUUUCUAUUUUUGUCUAUCUUGCUGUAAUCAGGUACUCACCUUAAAUCUGAGUUUUGUUUUGGCAUGGAUUAGUCAAUUUCUUUAUUAUUCCAUGAAAUCCUAAUUUUCCAUCACCAUUUGCUAAUUUUCUUAUGUUUAGUAUGUUAAUUAGUAGAUCUUGAUUUAGUUAAACUUAUGUGUGGUUUCUAUUUAUUUGGUGUUUUGAAAUGAAGAAAGCCAGAAUUCUUUGCUCUACUAUUUGGUCACUUGAACUGUUAUGGUUAUCUUGGGAGCUGUUGAAAUUAUCUCAUGUUUAGCUCGGUUAUGUUGUAAUUCCGAGUUUAUUUCUGAGUUAAUAUUCCAUGUUGUAAACUAGCUGAUUAUAAAUUGGAUGGUGACCGAGAUUGUUUAACUCUAAAUAUUAGUUUAAAUAGCUAUUAACAAUACCUGGAGCAUGUCGUGUAAGUUGUUAAAUUUUUGUUUUAAAUUUGAAUACAGUUUCAGCCUUGUUUAAACCAUGCAGAUUCAGUAUCAGUUCAAAAAGGCUUUACUGUAGUGUUGGUUUGUUGAAGUAUGUGGAUUUGUGUUGAGUUUGGAAUGUAAAGAGAUGGUUUAUUACUGAAUGCAUGGUUAUGGCUUGCUGAUCUGACCACCAGUUGGGUCAGAUUGGUGAACUCUAAGGCUAAAGGGUGGAUUUGGAGUUAUCUAUAGAGGGAGGUUAAGCAUAAGAUCGAUUAUGUUUUGUUCAGUUUAGUCAUAAUUAUAAACAAUCCAUGUAUAUAUGUUUAAGGAUUUAUGUCUAUUACCAUUAUUGAUAAUGAUAUUAUAAUUCGCCAGAUUUGUAAAUGUUAGAAUGUAAUCAGUUUGUUUUGCUUUAGAUCGAUUUAAAUAGUUCAGUUGUCCAUCUAUACCAUUCUUAGCAUUUAUUCUGGAAGUUUGAAUAAGUUACUAUCGAUUUGUUUUUCUUAGUUCUUUCACUUUUUUUUCAUUCUUGGUUAAAAGGAGUAAGCCAUCAUUUAGUUGUUUUUCCCCAAACUGAUAAUCUGUCUUAUUCCAUGUGAGAUGGUUCUAUAGUUGCACUCCUCUUUAGUUGAUUUUGGCCAAUUUGUUUCAUAAAACGGAAAGCAGUGGUGAGAUAAGAAGGCUUUAAUUCGCUUGAACAAGACUAAACUGUGUAAAGUAAGGCUUAAGUUCCUUUUAAGAAUAAUGGACCUGGUCCGAAAUGCUUGCUGGGCCCAACAUCCUGCAAUGUAAAUAGGUUAACUCUUCUUAAGGACCAAACUCUCUUAUCUACGGGCCUGUUUGGCAGCCAAUACGUAAGUUGCCCCCCACCUAAUUCAAAUAAGUAUCUCAUAUAGUAUGGAACCUUUACACCUCGUAGAAUACGUAGAGACAUAAUCACAAUUUUAGGUUCACUUUAAAAUUAGAUUAACUAUUUCAAUUAUGUAUGACAUAGUUGUGAUGCCAAGGUAUGCGUUCGCUAACCAUGGUUAAAUAUUUUUUUUUUAUUAAAAUGCCUUAAUCAAAUAUUCGUAGAAAUGCUUUAGGGCAAGUUUUGAAUUGUUAUUAUGAUUACGUUUCUCUCAAAUAAAUUCAAAGUAUGUGUUCGCGCAACUUUGACUAAACCUUUUUCUUAAAUAAACUAAGUGUUAGGAAUUGAGUAUAUGUACGCGUAAUUCAUCUUAGGUUAAUUUCUUAAAUAUGGAUUAUCAAGUGAUUAAUAACGGUAAAAGGUAAAAAUAAACAUAGGUCCUAAAAUAAGUAAUUAGAUAGGAUAGGCCAAGUACAAAUUUCUAAGCGACCGUGCUAGAACCACGGAACCUGGGAAUGCCUAACACCUUCUCCCGGGUUAACAUAAUUCCUUAUCUAGUUUUUUUUGGUUUCGCAGACUUUAAACAAAGUCAAAUUUUCCUUGAUUUGGGAUUUUAAAAAAAAAUCGAUGUAUACCAUAAAUUAUUCCAAGUGGCGACUCUGAAAUUAAAUAAACAAUCUCAUAUCGAAUAAUGUCACUUAAAUUAGAAAAACUCCCUUAUAAUCCUUUCGGAUAAAAAGGAGGGGUGAUAGACUGCACCCGCUUAAUCCUGGAUCCGCCAUUGUAUGUUAUUGUUGUUGUUGAUAAAGGCUUGACAAAAUGAACAUUUAUACUUCGAAUUAAGUUAAUUUCGUAAGUCCCUAUUCUAAUGCAUGCAUGAGUUAUUUGAAUCUUUCUUAAUAACCCAAAUGUUGAAUUAACAAAUGCCAACGGGAUGAAUAAGGUAAUGCAUUAAUUCAAAUGCAUGUUGUUACGAGUGUUUUCUUUCUCAUAUACUGAAUUCAUUCACUAAAUAAUUCUUUCACAAUUGUGUGAAGCGCGAUGAUAUUCACUAGUUAGCUCAUAUUUGUAUGUACUAAAUAUUCUUUUUUUUUUAAAUUCAGUAAACCUCUAGUCAAAAUUUUAAGUAAAUACCAAGAUAAAAAGGGAAAAGGCUGGAAAUGACAUACUAUAGUAGAGAAAGAGGGUAACGAUCGUAAAGAUAUGAUCAGAUGUGGAACUAAAAUUUAAAUUGUAUGGGUUCUAAAUUUUAAGAAAGGAAGCGAUCAUGACCUAAAGCUAAUAUACAAUAACAAGCAACUAAAGAAUGUUGAUUAAAAAGGAAAAAGUUUAUGUUUUGCUUGUUAAAAAGGAAAAAUGGGAGUAAUUCGGUAGGAUUCUUCAUUUGGAGCUGUUGUUUAGCUUUUUCUCUAGGUCAAAUACAUACACAGACACCUAAACUUGUCCAGAUAUUCCAUUUAAACACCUAAACUAAGCAGAUGACCUAUUGAACACCUAACCAAUAUUCAAACUAUGUUUGUUGGACACUUUUUGCUGACAUGGCAGGUAAUGUGUUGUUCACAUGAACUUGAGCGUGUAUGAGACAGGAAAAUGGAGUUUCGCUCGGAAAUCAAUUUCCGGCCACUUUUGUCUUCUUUUUCCGGCAACCAAUAGUCUUCUUUUAUUCCUUUUUCUUUUCGUAUUUCUCUUUCCUCAACCUAUAAAGAUUCAUUUUCUCCCCAAAAAUCAGAUCUUAAAGCCUCGCCUCUGUCGGAAAUAUCAUCACCGGCGAUCUCCAUUUUUGCCGGCCAUCACUAAUGCCUCCCCUUCCUCUUAUCUUGUUCCUUUUUCCUUUUACCCCCCGAAAGUCCCUCCCUAAAAGCCUGAAACUAACAUAUCAAUUGUAUGUUGUUGUUCGCCAAACCCAAGAUUUGCGACUGAACGGACUUCGUCGGAAAGGUGAAACUUUGCUGGAAACUUAUUCAAUCAACUCUUUUUUCUUUUAGUUUUGCUUCUUCAGAUUUUGACUUUUUUUUGCUGACAUGCCUUAUCAUUGGUGUAGUUUUCCACGUCAGAACGAGUGGCAUUCACGCUCCUUCAGUUUCUUAGGAUUCUGUAAUAUGUGUUCAAUAGACACAGUUUACUCAUAGGUCAGGGUUCUAAUAGGUGGUAGGCUUAAUUUAGGUGUCUAAAUAGAAUAUCAGAACAAGCUUAAGUGGUUGUGUAUGUAUUUGGCCUUUUCUUAAUAAUGAAACAACAACAACAACAAUAACGACACAGUAUAAUCUUACAAGUGGGGUUUGGGGAGGAUAAUAUGUACGCAGACCUUACCCCUACCCCGAAGGUUAGAGAGGCUGUUUCCAGGAGACCCUCGGCUCAAAAAAAGCAACAGGAGCCGAUAUAUUAGUACCAUAAAAAUGCAUAAUAAAAUAACAGCAAUAUAAGAGAUAUGAAAUACAGAAUACGAAACACGAAAUACGAAAUAAAUGGCUGGUAUAGUAAAACUAGCAGGUAAAGCCCUGCAUCAAUAGACGACCAAUGACAUUCUUAGUCUAACUCCUAACUGGCUAGUCUCACUCUAUUGUGCUGUAGAAAUAUUCACAAGUUUUCCCUAACCUACAACUUUAAUGCUCGACCUCCAUAAUUCCCUGUCAAGGGCCAUGUCCUCAGUAAUCCUAAGUCGCGCCAUGUCCUGUCUGAUCACCUCUCCCCAAUACUUCUUAGGUCGUCCUCUACCUCUCCGCGUGCCCACUACAGCUAGUCGCUCACACCUCCUCACCGGUGCAUCAGUACUCCUCCUCUGAAUGUGCCCGAACCAUCUAAGUCUUACUUCCCGCAUCUUGNNNNNNNNNNNNNNNNNNNNNNNNNNNNNNNNNNNNNNNNNNNNNNNNNNNNNNNNNNNNNNNNNNNNNNNNNNNNNNNNNNNNNNNNNNNNNNNNNNNNNNNNNNNNNNNNNNNNNNNNNNNNNNNNNNNNNNNNNNNNNNNNNNAUUCCCCAAGUAUAAUAUCCUGAUCCCCUUCUUCACUUAGAAGUUUAUGAAAGUAGGUCUGCCACCUCCUCUUAAUCUGGUCAUCUCCCAUCAAAACUUUGUCGUAAAAAUGUCAUAAAAAGCACAAAUUAACGCGUUGGUUUCAAGGAAUCGAACGUGCGUCUCUUCCAUGUGAUCCCAAAGCCCUUACUAUGGUACCCAAAAAAUAUAACUUUGAUUGUCAUACUUUUAGACAAGAAAUAGUCUUAAUUUAUUGAUUUUAUUGAGUCUUAAGCAAAUAUUUACAAAAGAAAAAUGUCUUAGUUGAGGUUUGAACCUUUUAACCUCUUAUAGAAAAAUCAAACACAUUACCAACAUACAAUUUAUGUCAAGUGGUGUCAUUUUUUUCUACUUAAUAAUUUUCAUACAAUAUUAAUACAUAUAUUUAAUAAACAUUUUCGACGAAGCGGUGUCGCGUGACACCGCUUCGAUAAGCGUAAAUCUGCCCUGAUUACUGGGUUCGGCAUGAUAUAUUUGUAUAGAAACAACGAAUUUUUCAAUAUAAAGACAUGAUUGGGGAAAUGUCACUGGAUUCGUCCGAACCCGCACCCACUACUGUAGCUCCGCCCCGGUACGAUGAAUUAUACAAGUAAUAAAAUGCUAGCAUAACUCCAAUCAAAUCCAUUAUUCUUCUGAAUGAAAAGUCAUUAAUUCACUUGACUUUUUUCCAUUAUUCAUACAAAAUAUUAAAGACGUGAAUUUGUACUUUGUAGUAGCUAGAGUUUUUUGCAUUGAGGGCAUGCGCUAAUUACCAUUUGCAGGUAUUCUACAACUAAUUAGGAGCACCUAUAUGUCGCAAGUUAACACACAUUUACAACAAAUCCAGCAAUCACUGCAGUCCUCGUUGGUUUGACAAAGUCUCCCACAAGUUAGGCCCAAAUUAUUAACUUCUGGGAGUAGAUGCCUUUCAAGACUUGAGAGAUCAACAUUAACAUCCCUUGCCGCCAACACUUCUGAUUUUGAGAGCCACGGCAUAUUAACUGAAAUAUUUCACUCUCAAAAUCAAUCAUAUUAUACGAAUAAAAGAAUCAUGUUCAUAUAACAUGCAUAAAAACAAUUGUAUACGUAUUUGUUACAUAGGGAUCGGAGUAUGUUUUCUCCCAUAUAUGUAUCUAUAUACAUAGGGACAAGCACAAUAUUUGAUGAUGUCAAGUUAUAAUGUAGACAUAAAAGAGUACAAUACUAACCCGUGGUUGCCAUGAAAAAGAUAGCUAGAAUGAAACUAAGCUUGAGAAUCGCCAUUACGGAAAAUAAUACUUCUAGGUCAUCUUAUUAUUUUUCAAAAUUUUUUAUUUAUAGACCGAGCAUGAGAUGAAUUAACUGGUUUCUAGAAAUCUUUAUUUUUUUAUUGUUUGUUUUUAGGUAUUUAUUUACUUGUUUUACACUCAACAUCAGAUCGGAUUGGUCUUUGCAUCCUAAAUAAUUAUGCUAUCUAUAACGUAAAAUCAACUUCUCUCUUACCUCGAUCUUGAAAAAGGAAAAUGCAUUCUAAUAGUUAGUAAAUUGUGUUACCUUGUUACGUUGUUCCAAAUAAAAAUAAUAUGUUGACCUGAUAAGUAUUUUUCGAAAUAUGCGUGUGAGAAGUGAAGGUGAAUCUGCAUUAUAGUAUUUUGCCAUUUGAAUAUGACAUAAAAUAGAAUAUGCUACUAAUCUACUCGGAGUUCACUUCAUUAAAAAAUUGUCCUCAUAUUUUUUCGUACGCAUCUCUUGUUUUGGUUUUAAUUGGGUAUUAAGAUUUUAAAACCAAAAGUUGUGAUUGAAAUUUAAUAAUGCUUCUCAUUAUUGGCAAUUGCACUUUGCAUUAAUAGCCUGUUUGGCCAAGUUUUUUUCGGGGCCAAAAGUGUUUUUUUAAGCCAAAAGCAUUUUUGGCAAAAAUUAAGGUGUUCGGCCAAGCUUUUGGAAGAAAAAAAAAGUGGUUUUAAGAAGAAGCAGAAGCAGUUUUUGAGAAGCAGAAAAAAUUAGCUUCUCUCCAAAAAUACUUUUCUGAGAAUCACUUUUGAGAAAAAUAUACAUUUAGAAGCAGUUUUCAAAAGCUUGGUCAAACACUAAUUACUCCUCAAAAGUGCUUAUGAAAUUCAUUAGCCAAACACAAACUGUUUCUCACCAAAAAUUUUAAAAGUACUUUUGAGAAAAGCAUUUCUCAAAAUAAGCAAAUUUUUGAAGUUUGGCCAAACAGGCUAUUAGUUAAUAAACUCAAUGCUUCUUAAUUAAUUAUUCUGCUAAAAGCUUGACUAGUAUAAGUCUAAUUAUAGGUUCAUGAAAAUAUUUUUGAACGAUGCAUGUGAGAAUCAAUAUUCUUCCUUAUCGUUUAUUGUGCCUAGCACAUUUGUCCAUGUUAACAAUUUUUUGGGUCAAACUAAGGGUGUUUAAUGGGCCGGGUUUAAUCGUAACCGGACCAGCUCAGACGGGUUAAAACCAAAAUCGACCCAGACCGGUAAGAGGGGGCCGGGUGGCACUGGGUUAAAGGGGUAGGGUGGGUUGAUCCGUUUACUUAACUUCUACCGGUUAACCGGACCGGUCAAACCCGGUCAACGUUUUUGUGUGCAUGUCAUGUUUAUAAUUUAAUUGUUAAAAGUGACCUUGAUUUAUUUUCAACUGAGAUUACUCAUGUUAGAAGUGCAGUUGGUGUUAUUCAAGGAAAUAAUAGACAAUCUAGAAUUAGGGAAUUUAAGAAUAAGUAUACCGAGUAUAACCUUAAACCCAGAUUCAUGCCAGACGAAAUUGUUACUAGAUGAAAUUAUACAUAUAUAUUUUUAAAAUGUUGCUACAAAUAUAGAUUCCCAAUAACUGAAGUUGCUAAUGCGUAUUGUACUGAUCCAAACCGUAUGUUAAUAACUAUUACUUGGGAGGUCAUUAAUGAUGUUGUUAAAUUUUUACAUAAAUUUUAUACAGCUACUGUUGAGUUUUCUGGAGCAUAUUAACCUACGGUUACUAUGGCUUUAGUACAUAUAACUGAAAUUUCUUUUNNNNNNNNNNNNNNNNNNNNNNNNNNNNNNNNNNNNNNNNNNNNNNNNNNNNNNNNNNNNNNNNNNNNNNNNNNNNNNNNNNNNNNNNNNNNNNNNNNNNNNNNNNNNNNNNNNNNNNNNNNNNNNNNNNNNNNNNNNNNNNNNNNNNNNNNNNNNNNNNNNNNNNNNNNNNNNNNNNNNNNNNNNNNNNNNNNNNNNNNNNNNNNNNNNNNNNNNNNNNNNNNNNNNNNNNNNNNNNNNNNNNNNNNNNNNNNNNNNNNNNNNNNNNNNNNNNNNNNNNNNNNNNNNNNNNNNNNNNNNNNNNNNNNNNNNNNNNNNNNNNNNNNNNNNNNNNNNNNNNNNNNNNNNNNNNNNNNNNNNNNNNNNNNNNNNNNNNNNNNNNNNNNNNNNNNNNNNNNNNNNNNNNNNNNNNNNNNNNNNNNNNNNNNNNNNNNNNNNNNNNNNNNNNNNNNNNNNNNNNAUAUUGAUUAUAACGAACUUACUAAGGCAAUGCAAAACCUUUGAAUUUACUCUUUUUUGGUUAAUUUACUUGUUGUUAAGUGUAAACCUUUCAAUUUGUUUGAAUUUUGAAUAAAUGUAGCACUUGCAAUUUAUAAGUACAAUUUUUCCCAUCUUCAUUGUAUUCUUUAUAUUUUUACUUUAUAUUAAUAUAACUUACAAUAGUUAUACAAAAUACAAAAAAAAAAAAUUAAAAAUUACACUAACCCGGCCCGGCCCAGCCCCUUGUACCCGUAACCCUUACGAUUCAUUUUUUACCUGGAUGAACCCGAACCCUUAAACCCGUGUAAGCCCUAAUCCGUAACCGGCCUGGAUCCCAACCCGUACGGUUACUAAUUUUUCCUACCCUGCCCGGCCCGGCCCACUCGUUAGAACCCUUAGGUCAAACUCAAGGUGGGAAUUUUUUAUUGCCACUGAGUAUUAAAUGCUUCAUCCAUUCACUUUACUUGUCUAUUAUACUAAAAAUAUAUUUUUACUUUUACUUGUUCAUUUUUGUAAAUCAAGAGAAAUACAAUUUUUUUCUUGUUUUAUCCUUAUCAUUAAUUACUCAUUUCCAAAAUUACUUCCCAAGAUUUUUUGAAAUGCUAUCAUUAGUAGGGGUUAUAUGGUAAAAUUAUUAUUUUUUAAGGGCAUCAAAAGUCCAUAACUAAAAGUGAACGGAGGGAGUCAUUAACUUUGAAGUUGGUUAUUGACGUUAAAUACUGUGGUAAACUUGUGUGUUUAAGCCAAACAUGAAAUUGACACUUAGUUUUGGGCGCAUUCGACGUGGAAAUAUAAUAAAAAAGUUUCAGUUUAUCCUCAUGUAUUAUAUGAGUUAUAAACUUAUAAACACGACACUCUCACAAGCUGUGCUAAGCAUGGCUUGCCUUGUAAGAAACACUUCUCAUUGCAGAAGUCCUUCUUUAUUACUCAAUCCGCCCCCUUUUAAUUACUAGUUAUCAUGGUUACUAAAUACUUGCCCCAAAAAAAUAUUUCUUUUUAGAAUUUCAAGAUAUAAUUAUUUCUUAUCCUCAUUUUGUCCUUAAUAUUAGUUGUUCUUGAAAGUGUUGAGUAUAGUUGUCCUUAAUAUUAGUUGUUCUUGAAAAUAGAAUCAACUUCAUUUCCCACCUGGGCAGAGAAUAAAUUAUACAAUCCAAGAUAAUUUUUGCCUCAAAUGUACCAACCACAGCCCAAACAUCCCUAGCAACCACCCUAAACAUUAAGAUUAAAAAUAAUAUGGGAAAAUACCUAGGCUUUCCAAUUACCAAUUUACAAUAAAAAAGCUCGAACUAUCAAUUCAUACUUGACAGGAUGAAUACUAGACUAAAAGGAUGGAAAGCCAAAUUUUUAACCUUAUAUGGGAGAUUAACCCUUAUACAAUCAACUCUUUCAGCCAUACCCACCCACUCCAUGCAAAUGAAUCUUUUUCCAGCAAAGACUAGAAACAAUAUUGACCGCAUCCAGAAAAACUUCCUAUAGGGUUCUACCAGGGACCACAGGAAAAUCCAUCAUAUCAACUGGGAUAAGGAAGUAAUGUGAUGUUUAGCUUAAAGCAUAUAUAUUUCUAUGCAUAUCACCUCAUAUUUUACUUUUGUUUCGUGAAGUUGGGAUGUUAAAUGCCAUUAUUUAUGUUAAUUUGAAGUGUUUUUAUGUGUAGGAAUGAUUCGGGAGCAAGAGGGCGCGAAACACGCAAGAUUUGAGCCAAAACGAACAAAAUCGGACGAAUUGAGCAAUUAGGCGCCACAGGAAGCGCUUGGUGCCACCUAUGGCGCUGGAAACAGAAGCUGAAAAUUGGGCAGCGCCCUGUGGGCGCCUGGUGCGGGGCUGGGCACCGUUGACGUGAUUUUUGUCCUAUUUUGCUCGGGACACGAUUUAUUCGGCCCUAGACCUAUCCAACACGUAUAAAAGAAAGACUAAGCCUAUUUUUGAAAGGGGAGGACGCCACUUUGAGGAUAUAGAACAUACUUUGAAGGAGAAUUCACGUAGGGGAACACACCACGCUUGGAGGAGGCUUCUAACUAGUUUUUCUUCUCUUCUCUUCCUUUAAUUUUAUAGUUUAUUAGUUCUAGAGUUUUGGGUGCUACAUGAACGUUGUAGUUUGAAGCUUAGAUUGUUCUUAUUAUUUUAUCAUAUUGGUUUAUUUAUUCAAUCUUGCGCUUAAUUAUUUGAUUGCUUGAUCACUGUGAUGACCCGACCGGUCGUUUUGAAUAAGUACAACCUCGUCUCCCCAUAUAUUGCUAAAUUCAUGCUUCACGGUUCUUAUGUAACUUGCCUGGGAAAUUGGUUCGGGUUCGGAAAGAUUUUUGAAAGGAAUUGAGAUACUUAGUCUCCAAGAAGAGAGCUUAAGUUGAAUUAAAUUGACCGGAAGGUGAAAUAUGAGUAAACGAAUCCGGAAUGGAUUUUUGAUGAUUCCAAUAGCUCUGUAUGGUGAUUUUGGAUUUAGGAGCAUGCCGGAAAAUUAUUUGAAAGUUUGUAAUUUAAUUAGGCUUGAAAUGGCGAAAACGAGAAGUUGUAGUUUGGAAGUUUGACCGAGGGGUUGACUUUUUGAUAUCGAGAUCAAAAUCCGACUCAAGAAGUUGGAAUAACUUCAUUAUGUCAUUUAUGAUUUGUGUGAAAAAUUUGGGGUCAAUCGGACUUGAUUUGAUAGAUUUCGGCAUUGUAUGUGGAAUUUGAAAGUUCCUAAGUCUUUAGGCUUGACUCCGAGGUGGAUUUGGUAUUUUGGUUUUGUUUGGAGUAAUUCGAAGGCUCGAAUAAAUUUUGAUGAUGUUAUGGGAUGUGUUGGUACAUUUGGUUGAGGUCCCGGAGGCCUCGUGUGUGUUUCGUGGUGAAUUUCGAGCGAGUCCGGGCAUUUCGGAACUCUGACAUGGGUCUGGCACUUUUGGGAGUGCGGGCCGCACUAAAAAUAUGCAUACCGCAGAAAGGAGUGCGGACCGCACUAAAUGGUGUUGGACCGCACAAAAUGGUGUGCGGAUCGCACAAAAUGGCGUGCGGCCGCACAUCAAAAGUGCUCUGCAUGAUUGCUGGUCCGACUUCGGAAGCUCAUAUAUUUUGAUAUACAAGGAAUUUGAGGAUUAGUCAAACACAAAAGUUGUAGAUCUUUGAAUCUAGUUUUCAGAAACAUAUUAUGAUAGGAAUGUGGACAUCUGUAGCAAAAGUUAUGACCAAAAUACUAAAACCUGACACUGCAGUCAAAAUCCACCGCGGGGGCAAUGGAUUUUGUGCGGACAACACUGGCUCUAGUGCGGACCGCACUCGAUUUGGUGCGGUCAGCAGUGACGGAAUCCGGGAGGUGCACUAUAAAUACGAUGUUUAGGGUUUUAUUUUAUAUUUUGACCUAGAGAGCUCGGAUUUUGGCGAUUUUUCGAAGGUUUUUCAAGAAAUUUAUCGGGGUAAAUGAUUCUAACUCGGAUUUGGCUAGAAUAAAUGAAUCUAUCAUUGAAUUCAUCAUUUGAUUCAUGAUUUGGGAUGAAAUUCUGGAAAAAUUGUGAAAUCUUUCAAAAAUGUAAAAUGAUGAUUUGAAGGACCAAAUGGUAUCGGAAUUGGAUAAUUUUUGUAUGGGUGAACUCGUAUCGGAAUGGGUAUUCUGUUUUUGUAAAUUUUAUUGGGUUCUGAGGUGCGGGCCCGAGGAGUUGACUUUUGUUGACUUUUCGCAAAUUGUAUAAGAAUCAUAGCUUUGUUAAUUGGAAUUAUUUUCUCUUACAUUAUUAGAUGUAUUCAAGUCGUUUUUGGCUAGAUUGAGCCGAGCAUUGAUGAACUGGAAAAAGGAAAAGCUAAAUUGACUAUUGAAUUGGCUGGAUUGAGGUAAGUAUCUUGCCUAAGUUUGUGUAAGGGACUACCCCUUAGGAUUUGAGUCCUCUAUGUUAAUUGUAGUCCGUGUAUGCGAGGCGACGAGCGUGUGCUCGGUCUUAUCUGUGGGAGAAUUGCCCUUUAAGAUUCUUAGGUCCUUAUGUGGAAAGUAUCCUGUUAUGAUUGGGUUUCCUAGUUUCUUAAAUUGCCUCUAUAUGCUCCAUAUGACGUUGUUAGCUUUCCUCUAAUUCUUACGUGUUAUAUUGACCCUAAAUUGCCUUAAUUGAAGUGAUUGCCUUUCUUAUUAUUUUGAUACUUCUUGGUUGUGAGUUCCUCUAUGGCUUCAUGCAAAUAGGUUACAUGUCCAAUUGUUGUGGUUGCCGGUGUAGUUAUCACGUGCUUAUUAUGUCUUGUUGUGUAGUUGAGGUUUCAUUGUGAAGUUAAUUGUUGGUACAAGUUUGGUUAUAGCUGAUUCCCUUGCCGGGACAUAUUUAAUUCUUACUGUUGGUUCCCUUGCCGGGACGUGUUUAUUCUUGUUGUUGACUCCUUUGCCGGGAUAUUGUUGUUUCCUUAUUAUUCCCUUGUCGGGAUUCUUUUAUAAUUGAUGAUGAUUUAUAAAUGGGAGCGGGUUGCACGCCUGCAACAAGAUAUAUGAAAUGGGACGGGCUACACGCCUGCAACAAGAUAUAUGAAAUGGGAUCGGGCUACACGCCUGCAACGAUAUAUAUGAAAAGGGAGCGGGUUGCAUGCCUGCAAUGAGAUAUAUGAAAUAGGAUCGGAUUGCACGCCUGGAAUGAGAUAUAUGAAAUGGGAGCGGGUUGCACGCUUGCAACAAGAUAUAUGAAAUGGGAGCGGGUUGCACGCCUGCAACGAGAUAUAUGAAAUGGGAUCGAGUUGCACGCCUGCAACGAGAUAUAUGAAAUGGGAUCGAGUUGCACGCCUACAACGAGAUAUAUGAAAUGGGAUCGGGUUGCACGCCUGCAACAAGAUAUAUGAAAUGGAAGCGGGUUGCACGCCUGCAACGAGACAUGUGAAAUGGGAUCGAGUUGCACGCCUACAACAAGAUAUGAAAUGAAAGUGAAAUUCUGUGUUUGGUUCCCUUAUCCUUGUUAGUAAUUGGAUUUUGGUGUCGUGCACCUUCGGUUUGCUAUGUUUAGUUGUUGUUAUCAAUUCAAAUGUUUAAACUGUUUAAUUCCUUUAUUGUUGUGACCCUUUGUGUUAGAACCCACAAUAUUUCAAUACCUCAUCGUAUUUAUAUAUAUUUAUUUAUACGUUCCAAUACUUCAAACUUCAAUAAUUGUUACAUCCUUAAUUCAAUUAGUUACUCAGUUAAAUUUCCUUAAACCGUCUGAGGUUGUAUUUUUCUUAAAAAGGAAUUUCUACUAAGUUUUAAGUUACUAACUCCCCUAUUAAAGGUAAUAUCUUCCGCGGUUGUAUUUUAAAUUGAAAGGGGCACUUUCUUACUCGAAUGAUUUCUAAAAACAACUUCAUCUUUUCUCGCCGAUUUUUUCAAAUUUAUUUAGAAAUUGUAAUUUAAUUUCUAUUAUGUAAAUAGGACUUCUCGAACAUUUUAAGUGCAUUUGUAAGGACAUUUUGUAUUUUAUAUCAUGUGUAUUUUUGUUGUCAAGAGUGAGAUGGAAAAUAUAUGGGCACAAGGUGCCAUAUGUGCUGAAAGUUUGAAAGUUGAAAUUAUGAUAUGAGAAAUCGAGGAUUGAAAUGAUCGGGAUGGUNNNNNNNNNNNNNNNNNNNNNNNNNNNNNNNNNNNNNNNNNNNNNNNNNNNNNNNNNNNNNNNNNNNNNNNNNNNNNNNNNNNNNNNNNNNNNNNNNNNNNNNNNNNNNNNNNNNNNNNNNNNNNNNNNNNNNNNNNNNNNNNNNNNNNNNNNNNNNNNNNNNNNNNNNNNNNNNNNNNNNNNNNNNNNNNNNNNNNNNNNNNNNNNNNNNNNNNNNNNNNNNNNNNNNNNNNNNNNNNNNNNNNNNNNNNNNNNNNNNNNNNNNNNNNNNNNNNNNNNNNNNNNNNNNNNNNNNNNNNNNNNNNNNNNNNNNNNNNNNNNNNNNNNNNNNNNNNNNNNNNNNNNNNNNNNNNNNNNNNNNNNNNNNNNNNNNNNNNNNNNNNNNNNNNNNNNNNNNNNNNNNNNNNNNNNNNNNNNNNNNNNNNNNNNNNNNNNNNNNNNNNNNNNNNNNNNNNNNNNNNNNNNNNNNNNNNNNNNNNNNNNNNNNNNNNNNNNNNNNNNNNNNNNNNNNNNNNNNNNNNNNNNNNNNNNNNNNNNNNNNNNNNNNNNNNNNNNNNNNNNNNNNNNNNNNNNNNNNNNNNNNNNNNNNNNNNNNNNNNNNNNNNNNNNNNNNNNNNNNNNNNNNNNNNNNNNNNNNNNNNNNNNNNNNNNNNNNNNNNNNNNNNNNNNNNNNNNNNNNNNNNNNNNNNNNNNNNNNNNNNNNNNNNNNNNNNNNNNNNNNNNNNNNNNNNNNNNNNNNNNNNNNNNNNNNNNNNNNNNNNNNNNNNNNNNNNNNNNNNNNNNNNNNNNNNNNNNNNNNNNNNNNNNNNNNNNNNNNNNNNNNNNNNNNNNNNNNNNNNNNNNNNNNNNNNNNNNNNNNNNNNNNNNNNNNNNNNNNNNNNNNNNNNNNNNNNNNNNNNNNNNNNNNNNNNNNNNNNNNNNNNNNNNNNNNNNNNNNNNNNNNNNNNNNNNNNNNNNNNNNNNNNNNNNNNNNNNNNNNNNNNNNNNNNNNNNNNNNNNNNNNNNNNNNNNNNNNNNNNNNNNNNNNNNNNNNNNNNNNNNNNNNNNNNNNNNNNNNNNNNNNNNNNNNNNNNNNNNNNNNNNNNNNNNNNNNNNNNNNNNNNNNNNNNNNNNNNNNNNNNNNNNNNNNNNNNNNNNNNNNNNNNNNNNNNNNNNNNNNNNNNNNNNNNNNNNNNNNNNNNNNNNNNNNNNNNNNNNNNNNNNNNNNNNNNNNNNNNNNNNNNNNNNNNNNNNNNNNNNNNNNNNNNNNNNNNNNNNNNNNNNNNNNNNNNNNNNNNNNNNNNNNNNNNNNNNNNNNNNNNNNNNNNNNNNNNNNNNNNNNNNNNNNNNNNNNNNNNNNNNNNNNNNNNNNNNNNNNNNNNNNNNNNNNNNNNNNNNNNNNNNNNNNNNNNNNNNNNCUGAAAGUUUGAAAGUUGAAAUUAUGAUAUGAGAAAUCGAGGAUUGAAAUGAUCGGGAUGGUGUAAUAAACAUGAUGUGAUUGAUUGAGUUGACAUUGUUUUCUUUAAUUGGAUACAUUCUUACUUGUCCCUAUCUCUAUUAUGUCAGUAUUGAAUUGCUUGGGUUAUCUGAUUUACGUGAUUUCCGUUCGUUACUAUCCGUGUUCUCCCUUUAUUGUUUAUACUAUUUGUACUUGGAUUUUCUCUCCGCAGUUGAUAUUACUCUUUAUCUUUAUCUUGAUGUUUUAUUAUCAUAUCCUGUUAAUUUUAUUUGACCAGUAGGUGUCCUGACUGUUCCUCGUCACUACCCCACCGAGGUUAGUCUCGAUACUUACUGGGCACUGCCGUGGUGUGCUCAUACUACACUUAUGUAUAUUUUUGUGUACAAAUCCAAGUGGAUUGAUAGUAGCUGUGCGGGUCGUCGUGGUGGAGACUCAAGGUAAACCUGCUACAGCGUUCGCAGGUCUCGGAGUCACCUUCAUUUGUAUUUAUUUCCAUUUGCUCCUUUGUUUCGGUGCAGUGAUGUAUUAUUUUGUGUAUUUACUCUUAGAUAGGCUUGUGACUUGUACCACCGAUUUUGGGAAUUGUAAAUUGUUAAGAGUUAUAGAAUUUAAAGUUGGCAAAUAUCAAUGUUAUUUCAGUUAAUUUUAGGCUUACCUAGUUUAGAGACUAGGUGCCAUCACGACUCCUUCGGAAGGAUUUUUGGUUCAUGAUAAUCACCAAUUGAAUACUAUCUACGAAUCUAAGGUUGAACUCGGGAGAGGGAAUUUUAUAUUGCAUAUAAGAUUGAAUAGAGCAAGAUCUUAACUCUUAGGGGGAGCAGAUUUGUGGUUAGGAUAGGAAUAUACCUAAUCACCUUGCUUGGUUAUUAUACGGAAAUUAUAAAUACGUUCUUGUUAAUUCUAAUUCCAUAGGAAUAUAGGCAUUAUAUUAGCUUGAAUAGGCGAGUUGUACUUUGGGAGAAGGCUACGAGAAAUAUUAACCAUGUCAACCAAUAAACCAGAUAAAUUAAUUAGACGGUUUAAGUGAAAAACUCAACGGGAUUGUUAGCUAACCCAUAACUCUAGAAUAUUCACUCACAUUGAAUUCCGCUUUAAGUUUGUCGUUGUUUUCUUUAAUAUCUUAAUUUGUUACUUUAGAUUAAUUUUAGUUAAAUAUUCAUACGUUAGGAUUCGCUUGAUUAGAUUAAUUGUUUGAUUUAAUUUAGUUGAUAGUUAAUCACAAGUCCCUGUGGGUACGAUAUCUGGGUUUACAAUCCUAAAUUACUUGUUGACCGUGUAUACUUGCGUGUGCGUUUGGGAGCAACAAGUUUUUGGCGCCGUUGCUGGGGACUUAGAAAUUGACUCUUCUACUAGAUUGGAUAUUUUACUUUUUGUCUAUUCAAGUUUUUAUUUUUAUUUUUAUCUUAUUUUAGUAUUUUAUUAUCUUUAUUUACAUGGCAUCUUGGAACGAGAGUUAGUCGAAUAUUGGUUGUUCUUAUUUUGGUGAUCCAUGUCCAUAUUGUGGAGUACCAUACUUGUGGCAAAAUUGUGCAUCUAAAUAUGAUGUGUGAAAUAUUUGUAAUGUGUGUGGUUGUCAAGGUGGCCUCUGGGAUGGCUGUCCUAAUUCUUAUUAUCCUUCUCAGAGUUCUUAGUAUAAUGUUUCUAAUAAUGUUUAUGAGUUUGAUAGGAACAACAAAGUGGAGGAUAUAGAAAGCAUGGCUCGUAUUAUGGACAUGAUAAGGCAAAUAGCCGAGCAACAGAACAUGAUGAGGCAAAUAGUCGAGCAACAAAGUCUUGAUGACUUAAUGAUCAAAAGACUCCAGGCUAGAAUGGACGAAUUAAUGGCCAAUUUACAAGAAGAACCUCAAUUCGAUGAAGAGAGCGAGUUCCCAUAAGAAGAUUAUUUUGAAGAAGCAGAUAUAGUGAGCCAAUCUUGGCUUGAGGAACAAACUCAACUGAUAAAAUCUCAUGAGUUUCUCUGUGAUGGUCUUUCAAAUAUGACAGAACAACUGAUAGACGAAAGAACUGAGCUCAGGCAAGAAAUAGACCAAUUUGGCUUAGAUAUGCAUGACCUGCAUGAUUAAUUGAAUAAAAAGGUUGAGACGUCUGAUGUCCUACAACCAAUUUUUGUGGAUACUGGCCAGCUUGAGGAGCGAAAAGAGGAACUCCAACUAUUCGACCAAAAUAUUAUUAAUGAUGCCAAGGUUGAGAAAGAGGGCAAAAUUGAGGAUGUCAAAAAUAAUACAAUUUUGGAGUUGGAGCGUAUUGGACCUCAUUCAAAACACUUUUCAACAUUGUGUUUGGUUGGUGACAUGAGAAUUGAUCCAGUCGAGCAUAUGAAGGAGUCAAUGGAUGAGGAACAAAGUGCUUAUAUACUAAAAUUUGUGAUGUCAAAGAGACGAAAUGACAUCCCCCACUUAAAGGCCAAGAAGUGCAAGAUGCGAUACCUAUUGCUUGGUUCAUUCAUUUUUAUACCAUCGCCCCAGGAACGUAAUAGAAAAAUUGAUGCAAACUUGGGCGCAAUUCAUAUCUUCAAAGUGGAAGGAAAAGUGGUGAAAUUGAUGAAGUCGUGCCACGACUAUAAAUAAGGCGCUUGUUGGGAGGCAACCCAGCCCGUAUUUUAAUUUUUUUUAUAUAGUGUCAAGUUUCGUGUUGUUUUUAUUUUGCAGAAUAGAGGAAGUCUGAGCACCCGAAGUUGAAGCUGAGGAGCAUGUUUGAGCUUAUGUGUGGGGUCGUCUUGACCCUUAAUAUUGAGGAUCAUGUCCGAGUAAGGCCCGAGAGGGCCUCAGGGAGUAUUUCUCACCCGUGUUUUAAUAUUUUUUCUCUAUGAUCAUGCAUCGAGGAAUAUGCAUAAAAUAUGUGCGGGAUGGGGAGACUAUUUUCUGAAGUAUAAUUAUAUAAAAUUAUUUUUUAAUUUAGUUUUUCUUUUAGAACUCGUAGUAAACAUAGCCUAGGUAAAAAAAACGAAAAUUGAAAAAAAAUUAGAAAAAGUUCAGACUUUUCCCGAUGAUGGAUCUUUUGGACAAUUUUCUUGAGGGAUAAAGUUCGAUUACAAAUACCAAUUUUUUUUUUAGGAUAGUUAGGUAGUAUCCCUUGGGUUUUCUUUGGGCGCCGGUCUUUUCCAAGGGUGUAGCUCAAACCGGGUACUAUUUUUUUCUUUAGGAGUAGUUUAGGAAGAAACUGAGUCGCUCUGAGAUCCUCAUUGACAUGGGUGAUGCUGACACAUUAGGCUAUGACAUACAUUCUAUUUUCCCGUGUAUUUGGUUUGAAUUGUGAAGCCUAAGUAAAGUAAAUAGCUAUUUUGUGAUGCAUUUUCUCAUUUGUUUGACUCGUAUGCCACAUAGUGUAAUAUUGUUUAAAUUUAUCAAUUAUGUGUGCUUGCUUGACUUGGGAGUUGAACAGAACCGUCUUGAUUGAGUCAUGUACAACAUGUGUGUGAGGAUUUGUGGUUUUCUGUGCUAUUACUGUGUAGUCUAGAACUUGCCAUGUGUGUUAAUCGAAGCGAAAUUAUAAGUUUUUCUGAUUUAGGAGAUGAUGUAGGCGUUUCUUGCUUGGUCAUGGAUGUGCUUUUCACAUAAAAAUAAAAUUUUCCGUUGCUAGCCCCUUUGAGCCUAUAGACCUUUUCUUUGGCAACUACAUUACAAGCCAUACCCCUAUUUUGUUCUUAAUUUGAUAUUAAUUGAACCUUUACCUCCUAAGGCACUUCGUUGCUAAAAGAAAUAAGGUUAGAGAUUGGGGAGUAGCUUUUGAGUGGAACUAUGGAAAGGCCCAUUGGUGUACUAAAGUUGAAAUUAAAAGUCACUAGCCGAUGAACUUUAAUGUAUGGAGUGUAUGAAGAAAAGAAAAAAAAAAGGAAAAGAAGAAUUGCAAGAAAAGAUAAAAAAAAAUGAUAGCUCAAAUAAUGUAGAAAAACACACACCUCCAAUUCUUAUUGAUUUGUGCUAAUGGAAAUAUAGAAGUGCUUAAUUGAAAAGAGGGCUAUGUUGCAUAUGGUUUGGGGCAAGUGAAUUGGUUGAGAAGAAUAUGUGCUUAAAUUAUAAAUGUAAUGUAUUAAAGUGCUUAGGAGGGUAAGUCACUAUUUUUAAAUGUAUCAUAUCCGUCCCUUAGCCUACAUUACAACCUUAAAGUCCUAAUUGUCCUAGAUUUGGCUAGCUUAAAUUAGUAGAGAUAUACACUACGGGNNNNNNNNNNNNNNNNNNNNNNNNNNNNNNNNNNNNNNNNNNNNNNNNNNNNNNNNNNNNNNNNNNNNNNNNNNNNNNNNNNNNNNNNNNNNNNNNNNNNNNNNNNNNNNNNNNNNNNNNNNNNNNNNNNNNNNNNNNNNNNNNNNNNNNNNNNNNNNNNNNNNNNNNNNNNNNNNNNNNNNNNNNNNNNNNNNNNNNNNNNNNNNNNNNNNNNNNNNNNNNNNNNNNNNNNNNNNNNNNNNNNNNNNNNNNNNNNNNNNNNNNNNNNNNNNNNNNNNNNNNNNNNNNNNNNNNNNNNNNNNNNNNNNNNNNNNNNNNNNNNNNNNNNNNNNNNNNNNNNNNNNNNNNNNNNNGACUAUGGGAUGCAUAUGAACUCUUUGUGAGAGUGAGAGAAUUUUGUUCAAUUGUGCGAUGUCCUUAAUCUAUAUUCAAAAGUAUAUUUGAAUGUGUGGACUAUCUAUAUUCACUCUUUUAUUUGUUGGUUAGGGCACAUGAUCUCAUGAAUGAUUGGUGAUGUUGUAAACUUUCUUAUUGGGUAAGUGCAUGAGUUGAGGGUGCUUAGUGGUUGCAAGUCGGCUUUUAGGUUGGGUGGUGACAAAUAAGUUGUUGAAAUUGAUUGAAUUGAAGGGUUACACUUGGGCAUGCUUGAACGGGAAGAAUGUGAAAUUUUGUGUGUUCAUGCUUCUGUGUCAGUAUUGAUCAUAGUCAAGGGUAUAGUAUGUGGUUAAAAGUUAAAGUUCUCUUCUAUAAUUGAUACUUGUACAUAGUUGGGGGUUUAUUGGAUAGUCCCAUUGAUCGAGGACGAGCAAGAGUCUAAGUGUGGGGUGUUGAUGUUUAGCUUAAAGGAUAUAUAUUUCGAUGUAUAUCGCCUCAUAUUUUACUUUUAUUUAGUGAAGUUGGGAUGUUAAAUGCUAUGAUUUAUGUUAAUUUAAAGCGUUUUUAUGUGUAGGAAUUAUUCGGGAGUAAUUGGGGGCGAAACGCGCAAGAUUUGAGCCAAAACAAACAAAAUUAAACGAACUGAGCAUUUGGGCGCCACAAGCAGCGCUGGAAACAGAAGCUGAAAAUUGGGCAUCGCCUUGGUGGGCGCCUGGCGCCGGGUGGGUGCCGUUGACGUGAUUUUUGUCCUAUUUUUCCCGGGACACGGUUUAUUCGGCCCUAGACCUAUCCAACACGUAUAAAAGAAAGAGUAAGCCUAUUUUUGAAAGGGGAGGACGCCACUUUGAGGAUAUAGAACAUACUUUGAAGGAGAAUUCACGUAGGGGAACACACCACGCUUGGAGGAGGAUUCUAACUAGUUUUUCUUCUCUUCUCUUCCUUUAAUUUUAUAGUUUAUUAGUUCUAGAGUUUUGGGUGCUACAUGAACGUUGUAGUUUGAAGCUUAGAUUUUUCUUAUUAUUCUAUCAUAUUGGUUUAUUUAUUCAAUCUUGUGCUUUAUUAUUUGAUUGCUUGAUCACCAAUUGAAUACUAUCUACGAAUCUAGGGUUGAAUUCAGGAGAGGGAAUUCUAGAUUGCAUAUAAGAUUGAGUAGAGCAAGAUCUUAACUCUUAGGGGGAGCGGAUUUGCGGUUAGGAUAGGAAUAUACCUAAUCACCUUGCUUGGUUAUUAUACGGGAAUUAUAAAUGUGUUCUUGUUAAUUCUAAUUUCAUAAAAAAUAUAGGCAUUAGAUUAGCUUGAAUAGGCGAGUUGUACUUCGGGAGAAGGCUACGAGCAAUAUUAACCAUGUCAACCAAUAAACCAGAUAAAUUAAUUAGACGAUUUAAGUGGAAAACUCAACGGGAUUGUUAGCUUACCCAUAGCUCUAGAAUAUUCACUCACAUUGAAUUCAGCUUUAAGUUUGUCGUUAUUUUUUUUAAUCUCUUAAUUUGUUACUUUAGAUUAAUUUUAGUUAAAUAUUCAUACGUUAGGAUUUGCUUGAUUAGAUUAAUUGUUUGGUUUAAUUUAAUUUAAUUGAUAGUUAAUCACAAGUCCCUGUGGGUACGAUAUCUGGACUUACAAUCCUAUAUUACUUGUCGACCAUGUAUACUUGCAUGUGCUUUUGGGAGCAACACAUCAUCUAAGCAAGAAGGAGGCCUUGGGCUGUACAAAGCAAAAGGGAAAAAAUGUUGCACUCCUCUCAAGCCUACUACAGAGAUAGCUCUCCAAUCCUGAGUCCCUAUGGGCUAAAGUAAUAAAGGGUAAAUAUCUUAAAAAUUCGCAAAAGAAUCCUAUGAUUUAUAAAACCAAUGGCUCCUACAUAUGGAAAAGCACUGCAAAGUGUUAUUUAUUUUUCUCCAAAGGCAUAGCUUGGAAUGGUCGAAAUUGUAAUGACCCAAUCGGUCGUUUUGAGCAUUUACACUUUGCUCGAUAGUUUAUGGGCAUGAGUAGCUCCAUAUGAUGUAUUAUGACUUAUGUAAAUUGUCAUUUUUGGUUUUCAGGUUAUUCAAAAUCGGUUUGGAAGAAUGAAUUUCAUUGUUGAAGCUUUAAGUUGAAAGAGUUGACCAAGUUUGAAUUUUGUGAAUUUGACCCCGGAACGGAGUUUUGAUGGUUCCAUUAAGUUCGGAUGGUGAUUUUGGACUCGGACGUAUGCCCGAAUUUGCAUUUGGAUGUUUCUAGAAGGUUUCGGCACAAGUUGGUAAAUGUUGGAAAUUUGAAGGUUUGGAAAGUUUAAAAGUUUGACCGAGAGUUGACUUUGUGGAUAUGAGGUACGGAUUGUGGUUCCAGGAGUUGGUAUAGCUUCAUUUUGUCAUUUGAGACUUGUGUGCAAAAUUUGGGCUAAUUCCGGGUUGAUUUGCUAUGUUUCGGCAUCGGUUAUGGAAAUUAAAAAGUUCAAAGUUCAUUAAGUUCGAUUUGAGGUGUGAUUCCUCAUUUCGAUGUUGUUAUGCGUAAUUUGAGGCCUCGAGUAGGUCUGUAUUAUGCUAUUGUGCUUGUUGGUAAAUUCGGACGGGGUCCCAAGAGGCUCGGGUGAGUUUCGGACGAGGUUUGGAUUUGUUUGGAUCAUUUUGGCCAAGUUGCUGGUGACAGAUCUGGUGUGAUAGCACAUGCGAUUGGUAUUGCACAAGUGCAAUGGCCGCAGAAGCUAGCCCAGGUUCGCAGGUGCGAUAAUGCACUGUUGGGUGGGAGUCCAGAGAUGCGGAAGGAUUGCAUAGGAGCACAACCGUAGAUGCGGUUCUGAGCAUCACAUAAGCGACCACUGGAGGGUCGAGGCUGUCUCGCAAAUGUUUGCCUUUUUCCGCAAAAGCGAAGGUCACAGACGCCUCCACUUAUCCACAAAUGCGAAAUCUGAUGGGCAGAAUGCUUUAUGCUCGAGGGUCGGUCAUUUUAUCACAUUUUUGGAGCUAUGGAGCUCGGAUUGAGGUGAUUCUUGAAGAAAUUUUCACCAUACGAAUUGAGGUAAGUGUUCUCUACUCGAUUUUUUAUUACAUUUCAUGAAUCCAUCUUCAUUUUUAGCAAUUGGUUGAAGAAUUUAAAGAGGAAAUUGGGGGUUUUGGCCUAAAGUUUCAUAAUAUAAUUUUUUUGAGUUUUCAACACCGAUUUGAAGUCGGAAUUGAGUGAAACUAGUAUGAUUGGACUCGUAAUUGAAUGUGUUAUCGAAUUUUAUGAGUUUUGUCGGGUUUCGAGGCGCGGGCUCCGGUGUGAGUUUUGGCCGGUUUUGGUUUUUUAUUAAGGAUUCUAUCUUUAUCAUUUGGAAUUAUUUUCUUGGGCUUUAUUUGAUGUAUUUGAGUUGCUUUUCGCUAGUUUUGAGUUGUUUGAAGAUCGCUACGUGCAUGAUGACAUCUUUGGAGCAUCGUUUGGCUUGCUAGGUAUUGCUUUUGGCUUGUUCGAGGUAAGUAACAAUUCUAAACUUAGUGUUGAGGGUAUGAAACCCUAAAUUACGUGUUAUGUGAUUAGUGUUGAGGUGACGCAUAUGCUAGGUGACGGGUGCGUAGGCGUGCACCGUGUGAAUUACGACUCCGCUAUUUCUAUGGUACUGUGUAGUUACCUGACCAUAUUUGUAACCAUGAAAUCUCUAUGUACUAGAACUAUUGAGCUAUGAUCUAUCACGACCCAAAAUCUACUAAUCGUGAUGGAACCUAACCCAACCUGCUAAGUAAGACAACUAAUAACUAUCCAAUUUCAAUAAUCUUAGCAUUUCAAUUAAAUAGAAUAAAUUAUCUGGAUCUAUUACGUUUCCCAAGGACUAGUAGUACAAAUUAUGAGCUUCUAAGAGUAGAAUUUAUAAAAGAUGAUAUGAAAUGAAUAUAUCUUCUGUUUGAAAAGUACAUAAAUAGAGUUUUAUAAUCUAAGGCUACCAUGAAUAAGAGGCAGUUACAUCAGGGACGCAGGUACAACUUCAAAGCUAACUCCUGCCAUGCACAACAAUAUCGGCAUCCGAAAUCUGCACACAAUGUACAGGAAGUGUAGUAUGAGUACAACCGACCCCAUGUAUUCAAUAAGUAACAAAUUUAACCUUAGGUUGAAAGCAGUGACGAGUUGGAACAUAGGUCGGAUCCAACACCAAUAACUAAUAGCAGUUCAUAACAGUGUAAAACAAGUAAAUAAAUAAGUAGCUCAGAGAUAAAAUGCUCAACCUUUUCAUAGUUUUCCGAAAUAGUUCCACUUUUAAGGUAUAUCAGUAAAAAUCCAAAUCCUUUACCGAAGUCGUCAAAAAUAGAGUAGGUUUGAAAACUGUAACUUUUCCCAAAAACUUUUCAUCAGGUAAAUGUUUCAUUUUCAGAUAGCAUGAGGAAAGUACAUCUUUAUGCCUACAUGUCAAGCUACAGGUAAAAAUCAUGAAUGUCACCAAAAACGGGUAGCAAAAGAAAAAAUGCAUCUCUGUGCAUGUAUCUCAAGUAUGUAUGUCAAAUGAAAUGCCUCUCAGUGAUGAACUCAUGUACUUAAACUCUCAGAGUACUCAACCUCACUGUAUCGCAUUAUCUCUUACCGUGCUCAAUACUCAGCAUACUCAAUCACUCAGCACUAUACAGUACUCGUUGCGGCAUACAACCCGAUCCUUAAACACAUACAUAGUCGACUGCGCUCAUUGGGAGUGUGCAGAAUCCGGAGGGGCUCCUACAACCCAAAUGUUAUAAUCUGCACGGACAACUCACGUGCUAUAACAUCAAUAUCUGGUUCCGCACGGACAACUCACGUGCUACAUGGACAACUUACAUGCCAUAGUAUCAAGAUCAGAAUCCGUACAGACAACUCACGUGCCAUAGUAUUAAUAUCUCACAAUUAGGCCAUCGGCCUCACUCAGUCAUCAAUAUCUCCAGUCUCACUCACGGGCUCACAAUGUCAUGAAACUAGCCCGACAACAAUGAUAUGAUGUAUCAAUAAACAACAACUGAGACUGAGAUAUGAUAUGAAUGCAUGAAUAUAACUGAGUACGAAGUAUCAAUGAAAUCAGUGAGAUGACAACAAGAAACAACCUCUAUGGGUCCUAACAAUAUCAUCAUAAAGCCUAGACAUGAUAUCUAGCAUGAUUUAACAGCUCAGUUAUUUAAUCUCAUGGUGAAAACACAUAUAUCAACAAAAUAGGACCAUUAAACAGUGCCAUGAAACAACAGAGUCACAAUUCAUAGGGUGCACACCCACACGCCCGAUACCUAGCAUGUGCAUCACCCCAAUACCAAUCACAUAACACGUAAUUUGGGGUUUCAUACCCUCAACACUAAGUUUAGAAGAGUUACUUAUCUCAAACAAGCUAAUUCAAAAUGCCGAGCAAGACAAGUGAUGCUCCAAGAAUGCCAUCACAUGUGUAGCGACCUCCGAAUAACUCAAAACUAGUCAAUAACAACUCAAAUACAUCAGAUAAAGCCCAAGGAAGCAAUUACAAAUGAUAAAGAGCGAAUCCUAAAUCAAAUCCCAAAUCCUGCCAAAAUUCACACCCGAGCCCGCACCUUGGAACCCGACAAAACUUACAAAAUCCGAUAACCCAUUCGAUUACGAGUCCAACCAUACUAGUUUCACUCAAGUCCAACUCCAAAUUGAUGUUCAAAAUUCAAAAAUUCUUAUUAUGAAACUUUAGGCCAAAACCCCCAAUCCCCUCUUUAGAAUUCAUCAAUCAAAUGCUAAAAUCAAAGAUAGAUUCAUGAAAUAUAACAAAAACCGAGUAGAGAACACUUACCCCCAUUCACAUGGUGAAAAAUACUUCAAGAAUCGCCUCAAUCCGAGCUCCAUAGCACCCAAAAUGCAAAAAUGGCCGAAACCCUCGAAAUAGAGUACUUUAUAAAGCUGCCCAGGCCUCCACUUUCGCGAACGCGGCAAUACCAUCGUGUUCGCGAUGAAAAAUAUGCACCAGCAUAUAAGACUCUACGCGUUUGAGAUGUAAUCCUCGCAAGCGCGAUGCACAGCAGGACCAACCCUUCGGGAAUGCGAAGACAUAUCCUCCACUUCCUGAGUUUAAGUUCUAUGCGAACGCGAUUCCCAAUCGCGAACGCGGAACCCAAUCAACUUACAUUUCGCGAACACGUUCCUUAUAUCGCAUACGCGAAGAACAAAUUUCACAGCAUGCCCAAACACACUUCGCAAUCACAGUUGGACCUUCGCGAUCGCAAAGAACACUAGAAACACCAGGUAUAAGCAGAAACCAACACAACAACAUGGAGGAAAAAUGGCCCAAAAUCAAUCUGAAACACCCUCGAGCCCUUCGGGACCCCAUACAAAUAUACAAAUAAGUCCCAUAACAUAACACAGACCUACUUGAGGCCUCAAAAUACACAUAACAACAUUGAAAUGACGAAUCACACUUCAAUUCGAAAUCAAUGAACUUUGAAACUUCAAACUUUGACAACCGAUGCCGAAACCUAUCAAAUCAUGUCCGAUUGACCUCAAAUUUUGCACACAAGUCAUAUUUGACAUUGUGAACCUGUUCCAACUUCCGGAAUCAGAAUCCAACUCCGAUAUCAAAAAGUCCACUCCCGGUCAAACUAUCCAAAAUUCAAACUUUCACCAUUUCAAGCUAAAUUCUACUACGGACCUCCAAAACGUAAUCCGGACGCGCUCCUAAGUCCAAAAUCACCCAAUGGAGCUAACAAAACCAUCAAAAAACCAAUCUGAGGUCAAAUACUAAAAAGUCAAACUUGGUCAAACCUUUCAAAUUUUAAAGCUUUUAGCUUAGAAUUAUUCUUCCAAAUCAAUUCCGAAUAACCUAAAAACCAAAAUAGACGGUUCACAUAAGUCAUAAUACAUCAUAUGGAGCUACUCAUGCCCUUAAACAACCGAGCAAAGUGCAAAUACUCAAAAUGAUCGAUCGGGUCUUUACCAGGGGCGGAUAUAGUGUAUAAUCAACGGGUUCAAUUGAACCCAUAACUUUCUAUGCGGAGUAAAAAUUUGUAUGUAAAAAUUUAUUAAAAUUGCAAGAAUAGUAGAUAUGAACCCAUAACUUUAAAAAUAUAAUGGGUUCAAUGCUAAAAACUUUAAAAGUUAAACCCAUAGAGUUUAAAUACUUGAUCCGCCUCAGGUCUUUACAUGAUCCAUGUUAGAAUCCAUGUCUAGGCUACAUGCUUAUCCUAUUGGGACCCAUUGGGGUCGUUUUUGCUAUUGAGCUAUUUGCUUUCAUUGCAUUACAUACUCAGUCAUAUGUAUUCAUACGCCUCAGUCUCUGAUACGGUCUAUUGUUACAUCAUAUUAUUAUUUUUUGGGCUAAUAUUUCAUGACAUUGUGAGCCUGUGAAAGAGAUACUGGAGAGAUUAAUGACUGAGUGAGGCCGAGGGCCUGAUUAUGAGGAUAUUGUUACUAUAGCACGCGAGAUCAGCAUAUGAGUUGUCCGUGCGGAUCUAGAUAUUGAUAUGUUAGCACGUGAGUUGUCCGUGCAGCACGUGAGUUGCCCAUGCGGGUUAUAGCGCUUAGGCUGUAGGAGCCCUUUCGAAGUUCUGCANACCCCCAGUGAGCGNNNNNNNNNNNNNNNNNNNNNNNNNNNNNNNNNNNNNNNNNNNNNNNNNNNNNNNNNNNNNNNNNNNNNNNNNNNNNNNNNNNNNNNNNNNNNNNNGAGGAAUGCGAGACAGUGAGAUUGAGUACUCUGAGAGUGUGAGUACAUGAGUUCAUAACUGAGAGGCAUUGUAUUUGACAUGCGUUCUUGAGAUACAUGUAUAAAGAUGCAUUUCCUUUUGCUAUCCGAUUUUGCUGACAUUCAUGAUUUUACCUGUAUCUUGACAUAUAAGCAUAAAGAUGUACUUUCCUCAUGCUAUCUGAAAACGAAACAUUUACCUGAUGAAAGGUUUUUGGAUAAAAUUAUAGUUUUCAAACUUACUCAUAUUUUUGAUGAUUUCGGUAAAGGAGCUGGGUUUUUCACUGAUAUACUUAAAAAGCGAACUAUUUUCGGGGAUUUGAAAAAGCUGAGAAUUUUAAACUCUGGGUUACUUUUUUUAUUACUUAUUUUACAUUGUUAUAAACUGUUGUUGGUUAUUGGUGUUGGACCCGCCUAUGUUCCAGCUCGUCACUACUUUCAACCUAAGGUUAGAUUUGUUACUUAUUAAGUACAUGGGGUCGGUUGUACUCCUACUAUACUUCUGCACCUUACGUGCAGAUGUUGGCUGAUGAUGUUGCUGUGAUCGAUGGGAGUUGGGAUUGAAGAUGUUCCUGCAUUCCGGUUGUAUCUGCCUCUUGUUCAUGGUAGCCUUAGAUUACUAAAACUAUGUUUAUGUACUUUUCAAACAGAUGAUGUAUUUACUUCAUACAGCUUUGUAAACUCUAUUCUUAGAAGCUCAUGAUUUGUACUGCCAUUCCUUGAGAAAUGUAUAAGUUUCAGAUAAUUUCUUCCAUUUAAUUAUUUUAUUAAUUUCAUAUUGGAAUUGGAUAGUUGCUAAUUGGCUUACCUAGCGGAUUGAGUUAGGUGCCAUCACGACUAGUCAGAUUUUGGGUCAUGACAGAAAUGGACGAGAGAUAAGCGUAUGGAAUGAUAGAUGGAUUACUGGCAAACCCACUCUAAGGGAAUUAAUACAGGGCCCUUUAAGUAAUGAAGAUAUCAAUAAAAAAUUGAACUACCUUAUUAUCAAUAAAAAUUGGAAUCUAGAAGCUCUUUUGUACGAACUCCCAAAAUCAUGAACCUUUUCACCAUUUCUGGAUAUGGAAAGCACUAUGCCACAACAAGCUCAUAACUUUCCUAUGGCUAUUAGUCCAUCGACGACUCCCUACUGCAACUAUCUUGAGCUAAAGAAAAAUAAUUGAUUUAAUACCUACAAACAUUGUGGGCCAGAGGAAAACACAAACCACUUGUUCUUUCAUUUCUCUAUGAACAACGCAAUAUGGGGAGAUUUAAACAUCACCACUCCAAUAUCAAACCAACUAGAUUGGAUAAAAAGUACUUGUACCUCUACCAUGAGCAUCCUUCUACCAAAUAACACAACAAUCCCAAUGGCAGUUAUAACACCAAUUAUUUUUUGGCAUAUAUGGCUCAACAGUAAUUACAACUAUUUCAAAAACUGUUCAAAAUAAAUAGACAACCAAAAAACAAUUACACACGCAAUGGAAUACCUAUACCUAACAAAUCAUAAUUUCAAAAAUCACUUCAACACUAAAAUCCCAAUAAAAUGGACACCCUAACCACAAAACAUCUAUAAACUUAAUAUAGAUGGUGCACACCAAAAAAACUCUAACAUUAAAGGAGUAGGUGGAAUCAUUAAAGAUUUCGACGGAAACUGGAUUGAUAGUCACAUAAUGGCCUCAUCAACAAUCCAAGGAGAAAUUGUUGCCCUGCUAAAGGGGUUGGAACUUGCUUUCACAAAAAAUCGAACAUCGAUUAUAGUGGAAACAUAUUGCCAGGUAUUACUCUACCUAUUACAAGACAAACUUCACAAUAAAGCUAAUGCUAAUCAUCUUCAUGAUUGCAGGGUCCUGCUCGAUGCACUAAGCCAGCCGGAUGUUAGGCAUGUCUACCGUGAAGGAAACUAAGUGGCACACACACUGGCAUAGUUUGGGAGCAAUUGUAACUCACAUACUAAAGAUGAGCGUGAAGAUCAUUUCUAGAGUGAACCACAUUUAUUUGCUUUCUCUACUUUUCACAAAGACUUAUUAGGGACUGUUUCGUUAAUAUCAGUCUCAGGAUAUAAUAACUCUCUUUAAAUUCCUGCAUAAUAAUAAUAAUAUCUCAUCUUUAAGCAAAACAAAUGUUGAGUAUAGUGGGUCCCAGCUAUUUAUGUAUUAAGUAUAGUUAAUUGUAACCACUUAGAGUUAGUUAGUUGUACAAACAUAAUAGAGUAGUUUACUAGCUUUUGUACUACCAUUCAUUUUCUUCCUAGAAGGUCAAUAACAGAAUGAGCUUCCUUUCCGUCUUCCUCUCAUUCUCUCACCUUCUAAAACUUACAGUUCUGCCAUAGCUGAAGCUUCUCAAUAUGGUAUAAGAGCUCGGUGCUCGAUUCUCUGAAGCUCGGCUGUGAUAGAACUUGAGUAAUUCAAUUGCAUUGGUAGUUCCUCAUUUGCAUUGAUCGAUCGAGCUAUUUCUUCAACAUACAAGACUUCUCACUCAUUGGAGGGUUUGGAAAAUUUCAAUUUUAUGGUUGAAUCACAGUCAUAUCGAGUCUAAUUUCAUGUGAAAUCAACAAAAUUGAAAGUUUGUUUCUAAAGUAAUUCCUACUAUGACAAUGGCAUCGAUGAAGAAGAUAUUGAUUUUCCAUUUGCUAAUUCAAUGUCUACGCCAACUACAAAUCUAGUUGAUCACAAUCAUCCUCUCUACAUUCAUUCUUCCAAUACUCAAGGUUCGAUAUUCACUUCUAAUUAACUUCAAGGUUCAGAGAAUUUAUUCUAUUUGGAGUAGAUCUAUCAAAAUCGUGUUGCAUGGUAAAAACAUAUUAGGCUUUGUCCUAGGCACUUGUAGAAAGACCAGGUAUGAUCUUAGUUUACAUGAACUGUGAGAUAGAUGCAAUGCUAUUGUGCUUGUUUGGAUAAUGAACACAGUUUCACCAAAACUAAUCAGUUCAGUGAUCUAUAUCUCUGAUGCACACACAGUGUGAGGGGAUGUUAAAGAGAGAUUUGAAAAGGAUAAUACAUCUAGGGCCUGUUAUUUGAACAAGAAAAUUGUCACAUUGACUCAAGGAAUAUCCUCUGUCUCAAUGUACUAUACUAAACUGAGAACUCUGGGAUGAGUAUGAAACACUAACUCCACCACCUACUUGUGUUUGUGCUUAAUCAAGGAAACAUGUAGAACACUACUAGAUACAGAAGUUAUAUCAGUUCCUCAGGUUUAAAUGAAUCCUAUGAGAAUGCAAAGAAUCAAGUUCUCACGACUCGACCAUUACCUAAUCUGAACCAGGCCUAUGCUAUGAUAGUCAAUAUGGAAAGCCAGAGAAUUAGUGGAAAAGGUAUAUAUGCUGAAAGUAAUAAAGCAGCAAUGAUGAGUAAUAAGGUGUAUACUGGAGGUUACAAUGGUGGAGGACAGCCUAAUACCAGUUCAAAUGGCUCAAAUGGAGGUUACAAACCUAGAAACUCCUUUGGUAAAGCUGUAGUUUGGUGUGAUUACUACAAAUACAAGGGUCAUAUUAGAGAAAACUGCUUUAAGCUUCAUGGUUACCCCCUGACUUUAAGAACAAGAGGAAAGGCGGAGCUCCACAUGCUCAAGCCAAUAGUGUAGUCAAUUAUGGUAUUCCAACCUUAGAGCCACAAGGACAGGGGCAUUAGGUGGCAACUACUCAAGUUCACUUCUUUACUCAAGAAUAGUAUCAGCAAAUUAUGCAUCUUUUGAACAAGGACAGGGAAGUUGAACCUGUAGCCAAUGUUGUUGUUGUAGGGCCAACAGGUACCGUACAUGUAUUCAUGACAAAUUUAGUGCAUAGUAGCUGGAUAAUAGACAUAGGUGCUACAAACAAUAUGCUUCAUAGUUUGAAUAUGCUAGAGAAAUAUGAUGAAAUACUAGAGAAUGCUAGGAGUAAGGUUUAUUUACCAACUGGAAAACAAGUGUCUAUCACUCAUAUUGAUAUUUUUUUAUUGUUUUCAAGGAUAAAAAAGUUCAGAACAUUCUUCACAUUCUAGAGUUUAACUACAAUCUCCUCUCAGUGUCUAAACUCACAAAGGAAUUGAGAUGCCUGCUAGCAUUUUACCCUAACUUCUGUGUCUUUCAGGAACUCUCAAGUGGGAAGGUAUUGGAGAUUGGUAAGGAAGAUCUUGGCCUGUAUAUCCUCAAGGCAGAUGACAUGCAAGUAUUCAUUUAACAAGUUCCUUCUCAACUAGUGUCUCUUUCUAUGUCAACUAUAAAUACCAUGCUAGGUGACAUCAAUAAAUAUAGUAAUCUAGUAGAUAUAAGUCAUAUGCUAUAUUCUCCUUGUGGCAUCAAAGUUUAUGUCAUGCUCUUUUAAAGGUUUUGAUAUCUAUAAAUACUUUGCGUAACAUACAGUUAAGGCAACAUCACUGUACUGUGUGUCCUAUAGCCAAGCAAUCAAGAAUACCCUUUCCUGUUAGCUCCUCUUACUUUAAAUCAAUGUUGGAUAUUAUGCAUGGUGAUGUUUGGGUGCCCUAUAGAGUGCCCACUCAUGAUGGCAAAAGGUAUUUCUUAACUCUGGUAGAUGACUAUUCCAAAUAUACAUGGAUAUUUCUACUUUAUUCUAUCUCAAAUACUAUUGAAGUGUUCAAAAACUUUGUAGCAAUAGUGUCUACACAGUUUGGCAGUAAGCUCAAAUGUUUAAGAACAGAUAAUGGAAUAGAGUUUCUCAAUGAUCAACUACACACCUUAUUGAAGAAUUAGGGAAUAGUACAUCAUACCUCUUGCAUAUAUUCCCCUCAACAUAAUGGGAUUGUUGAGAGAAAAUAUAGGUCCAUCUUAGAUAUGGUCAAGCUUACUUGCCUCAAGAUUCUGGGGAUGUAAUGACCCGGCCAGUCGUUUUGAGUGUUGUAUCCCAAUUCCCUCAUUUAAUGCUCAUUUUAUGUUUAUUAGUUGCUAUGUGACUUGCUGAAGUAGUUGGUUUGAUUUCGAAGAUGUUUCAGAAUAUGGUGAGACACUUAGUCUCAAGGGCUGAAAGCUUAAGUUGAAAAGGUUGACCGGAUGUGAAUUAUGGGUAAAUGGCUCUGAAAUGGAAUUUUUAUGGUUUCGUUAGCUCCAUUGGGAUAUUUUGGACUUAGGAGCAUUUCCGAAUAGUGAUUUGAAGGUCCGUAGUUGAAUUAGUCUUGAAAUGGCAAAAGUUGAAAAAUUAGAAGAUUUGGAAAUUUAGAAUUUUAACCGAGAGUUGACUCUGUGGUUACCAGUCUUGGAUUUUGGUUCUGAGAGUUGGAGUAGGUCCGUAUUGUCAUUUAUGACUUGUGUGCAAAAUUUGAGGCCAAUCGGACUUGAUUUGAUAGGUUUUGACGUCGAAUAUAGAAGUUGGAGGUUCAUAAGUUCGUUAGGCUUGAAUCGAUACACGAUUUGUGAUUUUAGCAUUGUUUGAUGUGAUUUGAAGGCUUGACUAAGUUUGUAUCGUAUUUUAGGACUUGUUGGUGUGUUUGAUUGAGGUUCCGGGGGGCCUCGAAUGGAUUUCGGAUGGUAAAUGGAUCAAUUUUGGACUUUGAGAUUGGCUGAAGUUUUCUGGUGUCUCUGAUCUGGUUUCCUUAUACGCAAUCACAUGGGCAGGUCUGCGUUCGCGUAGGCUUAAUUGGGUAGUGGAGGACUUUGCUCUAUGCAUUCGCGAGAAGAGGGCUGUGAUCGCGUAGCUUAGAGAAGCAUGAAAUCACUAACGCGUGGUCUAGGCCGCACUCGCAAAAAGGAAAGGAGGUAGCUGGGUUCACACGCAUUUGCUCUUCGCGAUAGCGUGAAGAGGGAUGCGAUCACGUGAGUUUGAGGAGUCUGUUCAUCGCGUUCACAUGGUGUUUUCUGCGUUUGCUUAGGGUGAAAUUGAGGGCAAUAUAAGUUGUGCUUCGCGAUCGCGAAGCAAUUUCUGUGAUCGCGAUUAAGGACUUCUAGGCAGAAUAUUAAAUCUCAAAAAUGAGGGUUUGAGUUUAUUUCACAAUUUGAUCGGUGUGAGGCGAUUCUUGGAAAGAAUUUCAAAGGAGUGAUUGGGGUAAGUGAUUCUCACUUAGUUUUGGUUAAAUUUCAUAUUUAUAUUAUUAAUUUCAUCAUUUAAUUACUGAUUUGGGUUGAAAAAUUAGAAAAAAAUGGAGGAAAGUUCUUAGGCCGAAUUUUGGGGAUUUGAUUUAGAUUUUCAUAUUGGAUUUAAGUAAUUUUGGUAUGAGUGGACUCGUGGUUGAAUGGAUGUUCAGAUGUUAUGAUUUUUAUCAGAUUUCGAGACGUGGGCCCGAGGGUUGACUUUUUAAUAUUUGAUUAAGAACUUAGCAUUUUUAUAUGGAAUUGAUUCCUAUAUCUUGAGUUGAUCGUAUGGAAUUGUUUGUGGCUAGAUUCGAGGCAUUCAGAGGCCGUUUUGCGAGGCAAGGGCUUGUUGGAGUAGAGUUUUGCACAGUUUGAGGUAUGUAACAUUUCUAAAAUUAAUUUUGAGGGUACGAAACUCUGAAUUUACGUGUUAUGUGAUUUGUAUUGAGUUAACACACAUGCUAGGUGACGAGCGUGUGGGCGUGCACUGUAAGAAUUGUGACUUGGUCAAUUCUAUGGAAUUGUAUAGUUGAAUAAUCUUGUUGUUACCCAUAUUUUCACCAUGUGUUAGAGCAAUUGAGAUGCCAGUCAUGUUAGAAAUCCUGCUUAGGCUCCAUGUUGGUACUGUUGGGACCCACAGAGGUCAUGUUACAUGUUGCAUUAUUUACUUAAUUUGUCAAACUGUACUUAGUCAAAACUAUUAUUUGCUUAAUAUAUCUAAGUCUCUAUUAUCCUUUAUUUAAUACAUCUUAUCAUCAUUGUUUGGGCUGCUUAUCAUGAUUCUGAUGAGCCCGAGAGACAAGAGAGAUUAAUGACUGAGUGAGACUAAGGGUCUAUUGUGAGUGAUAUUCAUGGGAUCGGGUUGCACGCCACAACAGGCUUUAUUGAUUCAUGCCAAGAUUUGGCUUAUUAUAGCGCUUGGUCUGGAUUGGCCUCUCCGGAGUAUGCACAUCCACAAUGGGCACAAUGCUAGCAGUUAUUUUCAUUUAGGAUGGAUCUGCCUGGUUUAUUUACAUUUUGGGCUGGAUUUGCCCUGUUAUGUGUUGAUUGCAAAACCUGAAAGCAUGUCUAAAUUCUUGUAUCUUUACUUGUAGAUUAUAGAUUUCUGAGAUAUCAUUGUCGUAUUUGUUGUAAGUUUCCGUACUGUUAAUACUGCAUGUGGACUGUAUUACUCAAACUCGCCACUACUUUCAGUCCAAAGGUUAGAUUAUUUACUUAUUGAGUCGGUUGUACUCACGUUAUACCCUGCACCUUGUGUGCAGGUCUAGGUGUUUUUGGUCACGGCGAUUGCUGAUUCACAAAGUUCAGACAUUCGGAGAUUGUUAAGGUAGCUGCUUGGCGUCCACAGACCUUGACUCUCCUCCCUUGUCUUUCAGUUAUUCAUUCAGUUCUACUUUCUAGAUAGUGUACCAGACUAUGCCAUUAUGUAGAUUCUCAUGUACUUAGUGAUAACCCGGUUUUGGGAAAACUUAUGUAUUGAGUUAUAGUAUUCUAUCCUAUUUUAUGAGAUUUUUAUUUAUUUAAAUAGUUUUAGUAUAUUUCAAAUUUUAAAAUUGUUGGAAAUGUCUGAGUAGUCGGCUUGCCUAGUACCAUGAUAGGCGUCAUCACAACAGGUUGGGUUUUGGGUCGUGACAAGUUGGUAUCAGAGCCUAGGUAAAAUAGGUCUCACGAGUCAUAAGCAGGUUUAGUAGAGUCUUGCAGAUUGGUACGGAGACGUCAAUACUUAUUUUCGAGAGGUUGUCGAACCCUUAGGAAACUUCACAUUCUUGUAUUAUUGUCAUACGGAUUUGUUGAUUCUGAGAACUAAACUUCUGUUAUUCUAUUCUCACACGGAUGGUGAGGACACGUGAUGCCGAACAGGAUGGUCAACCAUCAGUACCACCGGCUAGGGCCAAUAGAGGUCGGGGUUAUGGUAGAGGCAGAAGUUCCGCUCGUACAGCAGCUAGAGCAGCACCUGCAGAUCUACCAGUUGCUCCAGCUCAGAAGCAGGUUCCGGAUGUGGUUGAGGCAGUAGGGCCAUCUCAAGCACCAGUUGUGCUUAUUGUGAUUCCAGACCUUCAAGAGGCUUUGGCUUAGAUUUUGACGGUGUGCACUAGCCUUGCUCAGGCAGUUUCUGCUCAGACUGCGCCAACCACUUCUUAGGUAGGGGGAGGUACUCAGACUCCCGUCCCCCGUAGUCCGGAGCAGGUGAUACAAUGACUUCAGAUAUCGAGGGGUAUUACCAGCACAGCCGGUUGCUGUUACGCAUGCCUAGGUGGUCCCGUUAUGACUGACGAUGAGCAUAAGAGGCUAUAGAGAUUUGGGAGGCUCCAGCCUCUAUUAUUCAGUGGGGUUGAGUAAGAGGAUGCCCAGGACUUCUUGGAUAGGUGCCAGCGGAUUCUUUGCACGGUGGGUAUUCUGGAGACCAGUGGUGUCUCGUUCACUACUUUUCAGUUUACUUGGGCUGCCUUCAAAUGGCAGGAGUCCUAUGAGAGGCGCAAGCCAGUCGGUGCAGCACCACAUGGCAUGUAUUAUCCGUUCUCUUCUCGUAGAAGUUUGUGUCACAUACCUGUACGAAGGAGCUGCAUAGGCAGUUCGAGCAGCUACAUCCGGAUGGCAUGUCUGUGACUCAGUAUGGGAUGAGGUUUUUAGAGUUGGCUCGUCAUGUAGUUUGGUUGGUUCUCAUUGAGAGGGAGAGGAUUAGGAGGUUCAUUAGGCCUCUACUAUCAGUAGCAUUUUGUUAUGACUCACGAGAGUGUAUCAGGUGCUACGUUCGACAAGGUGGUUGACAUUUCUCCGAGGCUAGAGAUGGUUCGUAGUCAGGAGCCUAAGGAGAGGGAGGCCAAGAGGCCUCGUGGUUCAGAUGGUUUUAGUGGUAUUCCUUCUGGGGGACAGUCCUACCACAGCAAGGAUCGUCCUUACAAGCCCUCUUAUAUGGCUCGUCCAGUUCAUCGUGGUGUAUCAUCCAGCCACGGUUCAUAUAGUGCUAGACUGGGUCUCAUCUCUCAGUGCUCUCCCAACUCAGAGUUCAUCUCAUGCACCUUCAGUUUAGGGUUCAUCUGCACCAGGUUCCUCUAGUAGUUAUUCUGGUUCAUGGGAUCUGCCUCAGUAUUUGCCACCAUUUUUCGAGAGGGAAUGUUUUGAGUGUGGAGAGCUGGGCCAUGUGAAGAAGUUUUGUCCUCGCCAUAUGAGAGGUACAAUUCAGCUGCCAUGACUUCAUCACCAGUUACUUCACCACUUGCCUAGCCAGCUCGGGGUGGGGCUCAACCACCUAGGGGUCACCCAAGAGGGGGAGGCCGAUCAGGUGGUGGUUAGGCCUGAUUCUAUGCUAUUCUUGCCAGGCCAGAUGUUAUUGCUUCAGACACAGUGAUCACAAGUAUUGUCUCAGUAUGCCACAAGGAUGCUUCUGUAUUAUUUGACGCUGGUUCCACUUACUCGUAUGUAUCAUCAUAUUUUGCUUGUUAUCUAGAUAUGCCCUGUGAGUCCUUAGUUUCAUCUAUUCAUAUAUCUAUGUCGGUGGGCGAUAAUAUUGUUAUAGACCGUGUAUAUCGGUCGUGCGUAGUGACUAUUGGGGUAUUAGAGACUAGAUUUGAUUCUUAUUGCUUAGUAUGGUCGAUUUCGACUUGAUCUUGAGUAUCGAUUGGUUGUCUCCAUGUUAUGCUAUUCUGGAUUGUCAUGUUAAGACCGUGAUAUUGGUGAUGCCUGGAUUUCCAAGGAUCGAGUGGAGAGGUUCUCUAGAUUAUGUUCCCAACAGAUUUGAAGGCCCAAUGGAUGGUUGGGAAGAGGUGUCUAUAUUAUUUGGCCUUUGUGAGAGAUCUCGAUGCAGAUAUCCCUACUAUUGAUUCUGUUUCGAUGGUGCACGAAUUUCAAGAUGUGUUUCCUGUAGACCUAGUGAGCAUGCCACCCGACAGGGAUACUGACUUUGGUAUUGACUUGAUGCUGGGCACUCAGCCUAUUUCUAUUCCUCCGUAUCAAAUGGCAUCAGCUAAAUUAAAAGAAUUGAAAGAACAAUUUCAGGAACUUCUUGAUAAGGGUUUUAUUAAGCCCAGUGUGUCGCCUUGGGGUGCACUGCUUCUGUUGGUGAAGAAGAAGGAUGGUACUAUGCAGAUAUGCAUCGACUAUAGGCAGUUGAACAAAGUUACAAUCAAGAACAAGUAUCCUUUGCCACAUAUUGAUGAUCUAUUUGACCAGCUUUAGGGAGCGAGGGUAUUCUCUAAAAUUAAUUUAAGGUUUGGAUAUCACCAGUUGAAUAUUCGGGACUUAGAUAUUCUAAAGACAGCAUUCAGGACCUGUUAUUGUCACUAUGAGUUUCUUAUGAUGUCUUUUCUGCUGAUCAAUGCCCCCGCAACAUUCAUACAUCUGAUGAACAGUGUAUUUUAGCCUUAUCUCAAUCUGAGUGUCAUAGUAUUCAUUGAUGAUAUCCUGGUGUACUCACGUAGCCAGAAGGAACAUGUGCAACAUUUGAGAUUGUGUUACAGCGGCUGAGGGAGGAGAAGUUUUAUGCCAAGUUCUCCAAGUGUGAGUUUUGUCUUAGUUCAGUGUCGUUCUUGCCUGCACGUGGUGUCUAGUGAGGGGAUUAAGGUGGAUCCGAAGAAGAUAGAGGCGGUUCAAAGUUAGCCCAGACCGUCCUCAGCUAAGGAGAUUCAGAGCUUUCUCGGUUUGGCUAGUUAUUAUCGUCACUUCGUGGAGGGUUUCUCGUCUAUUUCAUCGCCUUUGGCCAAAUUGACCUAGAAGGGUGCUCCAUUCAAGUGGUCAGAUGAGUGUGAGGAGAGCUUUCAGAAGCUCAAGACUGCCUUGACCACAACUCCAGUUCUAGUUUUGCCUUCAGCUUCUGGUUCUUAUACGGUGUAUUGUGAUGCUUCUCAGAUCGGUAUUAGGUGUGUCUUGAUGCAGAAGGGUAGAAUGAUUACUUAUGCUUUGUGUCAUUUGAAGCCCCAUGAGAAGAACUACUAUGUUCAUGAUUUGUAGUUGGCAGCCAUCGUUCAUGCAUUGAAGAUUUGGAGGCAUUAUCUCUCCGGUAUGUCUUGUGAGGUAUUUACGGAUCAUCUGAGUCUCCAGCACUUGUUCAAAUAAAAGGAUCUAAAUUUGAGGCAGUGGAGAUGGUUGGAGCUGUUAAAGGACUAUGAUAUCACCAUUCUAUAUGAUCCCGAGAAGGCCAAUGUGGUGGUCGAUGCCUUGAGUAGAAAGGCAGUGAGUAUUGGUAGCUUUGCAUUCAUUCUUGUUGGUGAUAGGCCACUUGCAGUUGAUGUUCAGUCCUUGGUCAACCAGUUUGUGAGAUUAGAUAUUUCAAAGCCCUGCCAGAUUCUAGCUUGUGUGGUUUCUCGGUCUUCCUUAUAUGAUCGCAUUAGAGAGCACCAGUAUGAUAAUCCCCAUUUGCUUUCCUUAAGGACACUAUUCAGCACGGUGAUGCCAAGGAUGUUACUAUUAGGGAUUAUGGGGUGUUGAGGAUGCAAGGUCGGAUUUUUGUGCCUAAUGUAGAUGGGCUACAUGAGUUGAUUCUUGAGGAGAUCCAUUGUUCGUGGUAUUCCAUUAAUUUGGGUGCCGCGAAGAUGUACCAGAACUUGAGGCAACACUAUUGGUGGAGGAGGAUAACAAGGAUAUAGUGGGGUUUGUAGCUUGGUGCCUUAACUGACAGCAGGUGAAGUAUGAGCAUCAGAGGCCGGGCGGAUUACUUUAGAGGCUUGAGAUUUCGGAGUGGAAAUGAGAGCGUAUCACUAUGGAUUUUAUAGUGGACUCCUAUGGACUUUCGAGGAAGUUUGAUGCUAUUUAGGUGACUAUGGAUAGGUUGACCAAGUACCCACACUUCAUUCCAGAUGGGACUACUUAUUCUUUGGAGAGGUUUGUUGAGAUCUACAUCCGCAAGAUUGUUCUCCUUCACGGUAUGCUAGUGUCCAUACUUUCAGAUCGGCGCACGCAGUUUACAUCGCAAUUUUGGAGAGUCGUGUAAUUAGAGUUGGGCACAUAGGUUGAGUUGAGUACAACAUUUCACCCUUAGACGGACGGGCAGUCCGAAUGCACUAUUCAUAUAUUGAAGGAUAUGUUAUGUGCUUGUGUCAUAGAUUUAAGGGGUUCUUAGGAUCAGUUUCUGCCGCUCGCAGAGUUUGCCUACAACAAUAGCUACUAUUCGAGCAUUCAGAUGGCUCCGUAUGAGGCUUUUGUAUGGAAGACGGUGUCAGUCUCCAGUGGAAUAGUUUGAGCUAGGUGAGGCUAGGUUAUUGGGUACUGACUUGGUUCAGGAUGCUUUGGACAAGGUUAAAUUAAUUUAGGAUCGGCUUCACACGGCGCAGUCUAGACAGAAGAGUUACGCCGAUCGGAAGGUUUGUGAUGUUUCUUACAUGGUUGGGAGAAGGUACUGCUCAAGGUUUCAUUAUGAGGUUUGAGAAGAAGGGCAAGUUAAGCCCUCAGUAUAUUGGACCGUUUGAGGUGCUUCUAAGGAUUGGAGAUGUGGCUUACAAGCUUGCCUUGCCGCCUAGUCUGUCGAGUGUGCAUCCAGUAUUUCAUAUUUCUAUGCUCCAGAAGUAUAUCGACGAUUCGUCUCAUGUUUUGGAUUCCAACACGGUUCAGUUAGAUGGUUAUUUGACUUAUGAUGUGGAGCCGGUUACCAUUUUAGGUCGGCAGGUUCGAAAGUUGAGGUCUAAGGACAAAGCUUCGGUGAAGGUGCAGUGGAGAGGUCAGCCAGUUGAGGAGGCUACUUGGGAAACCAAGUGAGAGAUACGAAGCAGAUAUCCACACCUAUUUGAGACUCCAGGUACAUUUCUAGACCCGUUUGAGGACGAACGUUUGUUUAAGAGGGGGAGGAUGUAACGACCCGGCCGGUCAUUUUGACUGUUGUAGCCUCAUUCCCCUAUUUAAUGCUCAUUUCACGCUUAUUAGUUGCUAUGUGGCUUGCCGGGGUAGUUGGUUCAAUUCCAGGGAUAUUUCGGAAUGUGGUGAGACAAUUAGUCUGAAGGGUUGAAAGCUUAAGUUGAAAAGAUUGACCGGAUGUAAAUUAUAUGUAAAUAGCUUCGAAAUGGAGUUUUGAUUGUUCUGUUAGCUCCGUUGGAGGAUUUUGGACAUAAGAGCAUGUCCGAAUAGUGAUUUGGAGGUCCAUAGUUGAAUUAGGCUUGAAAUGGCAAAAGUUGAAAAAUGAGAAGCUCUCGAAAUUUAGAAGUUUGACCGAGAGUUGACUUUGUAGUUACCGAGCUCGAAUUUUGGUUCCGGGAGUUAGAGUAGGUCUGUGGUGUCAUUUAUGACUUGUGUGAAGAUUUUUUGAGGUCAAUCAGUCUUGAUUUUAUAGAUUUCAGUGUUGAAUGAAGAAGUUGGAAGUUCAUAAGUUCGCCAGGCUUGAAUCGAUGCACGAUUUGUGAUUUUAGUGUUGUUUGAUGUGAUUUGAAGGCUCGACUAAAUUCGUAUCGUGUUUUAGGACUUAUUGGUGUGUUUGGUUGAGCUCCCGAGGGCCUCGGGUGGAUUUCGGAUGGUUAACGGAUCAAUUUUGGACUUUGAAAUUGGCUAGAGUUUUCUGGUGUCUCUGAUCUGGUUUCCUUAUACGCAGUCGCGUGGGCAGGUCCGUGAUCGUGUAGGAUUAAUUGGGCAGUGGAGGACUUUGUUCUAUGCAUUUGCAAGAAGAGGGUUGCGAUCGCGUAGCUUAGAAAAGCAGUGCAUCACGAACGCGUGGGCUAGACAGCCUUCGCAAAGAGGAAAGGAGGCAGUUGGGGUUCACACGCGUUUGCUCUUCGCGAUCGCGUGAAGAGGGAGGUGAUCGCAUGAGUUUGAGGAGCCCGUUCAUCGCGUUCGCAUGGUGUUUUCCACUUUCGCGUAGGGUGAAAUUGAGGGCAAUAUAAUUUGUGCUUCACGAUCACGAAGCAAUUUCCGCGAUGGCGAUUAAGGACUUCUAGGCAGAAUAUUUAAUCUAAAAAAUGAAGGUUUGAGUUUAUUUCACAAUUUGAUUUUGGGAGCUCGGUGGGAGGGGAUUCAUGGAGUGAUUUUCAAGAGAGUGAUUGGGGUAAGUAAUUCUCACUUAGUUUUGGUCAAAUUCCAUGUUUAUAUCUUUGAUUUCAUCAUUUAAUUACUGAUUUGGGUUGAAAAAUAGAGGGAAAUGGAGGAAAGUUUUUAGGCCAAAUUUUGGGGAUUUGGUCGGGAUUUUUGUAUCCGAUUUGAGUAAUUUUGGUAUGGGUGGACUCGUGGUUGAUUGAGUAUUCGGAUUUUGUGACUUUUAUCGAAUUCUGAGACGUGGGCCCGACAGUUGACUUUUGAGUUGACUUUUUGACUUUUGAUUUGACUUUUUGACUUUUGAUUAAGAACUUAGAAUUUUUAUAUGGAAUUGAUUAAAAUAGCUUAAGUUGAUCGUAUCGAUUUGUUUGUGGCUAUCUUCGAGGCAUUAAGAGGCCGUUUCGCGAGGCAAGGGCUUGUUGGAGUAGAAUUUUGCACAGUUUGAGGUAAGUAAAACUUCUAAACUAGGUUCUGAGGGUACGAAAUCCCGAAUUUAUGUGUUAUGUGAUUUGUAUUGAGUUGACACACAUAUUAAGUGACAAGUGUGUGGGCGUGCACUGUAAGAGUUGUGACUUGGUUGAUUCCAUGAAACUGUAUAGUUGAAUAAUCUUGUUGUUACCCGUAUUGUCACCAUGUGUUAGAGUAGUUGAGCUGCCAGUCAUGUUAGAAAUCCUGCUUAGGCUCCAUGUUGGUACUGUUGGAACCAACAGAGGUCGUGUUACAUGUUGAAUUAUUUGCUUAAUUUGUGAAAUUGUACUCAAUCAAAGCUAUUAUUUGCAUAAUAUUUCUCAGUCUCUAUUGUCCUUUAUUUGAUACAUCAUAUCAUCAUUGUUUAGGCUUAUUAUCAUUAUUCUGGUGAGCCCGAGAGACUGGAGAGAUUAAUGACUGAGUGAGAAUAAGGGUCUAUUAUGAAUGAUAUUCAUUGGAUCGGGCUCCAUGCCACAGUAGGCUUUAUUAAUUCAUGCCAAGAUUUAGCUUAUUAUACUGCUUGGGCUGGAUCGACCCCUCCGGAGUCAGCACAUCCAUAGUGGGUGCAAUGCUAGCAGUUAUUUACAUUUGGGCUGGAUCUGCCCUGUUCUGUGUUGAGUUUUAUUGCAAAACCUGAAAGCAUGUCUAAAUUCUUGUACCUUUACUUGUAGAUUAUAAAUUUCUGAGAUAUCACUAUCAUAUUUGUUGUAACUUUCCAUAUUGUUAAUACUGUAUGUAGACUGUAUUACUCAAACUCAUCACUACGUUUAGUCCAAAGGUUAGAUUUGUUACUUAUUGAGUUAGUUGUACUCACGCUACACCUUGUACCUCUUGUGCAGAUCCAGGUUUUUUCCGGUCAUGGGGAUUGCUGAUUCACAUAGUUUAGACAUUCGGAGAUCGUCGAGGUAGCUGCUUAGCAUCUGCAGACCUUGACUCUCCUCUCUUAUCUUUCAGUUAUUUAUUAUGUUCUACUUUCUAGAUAGUGUACCAGACUAUGUCAUUAUGUAGAUGCUCAUGUACUUAGUGACACCUCGAUUUUGGGAAAACUUAUGUAUUGAGUUAUGGUAUACUAUCAUAUUUUAUGAGAUUUUUAUUUAUUUAAACUGUUUUAGUAUAUUUCAAAGAUUAAAAGUGUUGAAAAUGUCUAAGUAGUCAUCUUGCCUAGUAUCAUGAUAGGCGCCAUCAUGACAGGUUGGGUUUUGGGCUGUGAGAGGGGAGAGUGUGUCUCUACUGCAGCCUGAAUAGGUUGCCUAUUAUUUUACUACAAGGCAAAUCUCCCUUUGAGAAGUUCUUUCAAAGGAAUCCAUCUGUGCAACAUCUGAGGUUAUUUGGAAGUCUUUGUUAUGCUACUCAGGUGAAGAAAGGAGAUAAAUUAUGUCCUAGAGCAAUCUCAGCUGUGCACAUAUGCUAUUCAUCCACCUAGAAGGGCUAUGUCCUCUAUGACUUGUACUUUAAAAGAUUUUUUGUAUACAGGGACACUGUCUUCAAGGAAGAAGUGUUCCAAUUCAAGCAUACGUCUUCUGGUGCAUCUCCUUUAUUUUCUGUCCUGGAGUUUGUAGAGCAAUAAAUUCAAUCAGUUGGUAUUCCUAGUGAUGCUUCCUUACCUGCAGUAUCUCCAAGUCCAAACAAUGCUGAUAUUGCUGACACUACUUCAGCUCCUCUCACUCCUGGUUAGUCUCAUCUAUCCAUACCUGUAUCUCCUCCUCCAUCAGCCUAUGAACCAUCUACCCUUUCUAUGACACUCAGGAAGUCUUCUAGACUUACUAAACCACCUAUGUGGUUAGCAGACUAAGUGGUUCCACCAAAGAAGUAAGCUUGCCUUUAUCCUAUAACCAACCACGUGUCCUAUGAUCACUUAUCUCCUGGCUACAGAUCCUCUCUGGUUGCAUUCUCAGCCAUUGUGAAACCUAGGUCCUUCGAAGAAGCCAGUCAAUACCCUAAGUGGGUUGAGGCUAUGUAGGCUGAGAUCACUACUUUUGAAGAAAACAACACUUGGUCCAUUGUCUCCCUUCCCCUUGGGAAGGUUCCUAUAGGCUACUAUUGGGUGUUUAAAGUCAAAUACAAGUCUUCUGGUGAGGUGGAAAGGUAUAAAGCCAGGUUGGUGUCUAAAGGUUGCAGCCAACAGGAAGGAUUGGAUUAUAAAAAAACUUUCUCUCUAGUAGCUAAAAUGGUCACUAUGAGAGCCAUAGUUGCCUUAGCUGCUGCUUCUAGUUGGUAUGUGUUUUAGAUGGAUGUUCAAAAUGCUUUUCUUCAAGGAGAUCCUCUAGAGGAAGUGUACAUGCAUAUUCCUGAUGGCUUUUUAAGCCAAGGAGAGUGUCAGCAAGUGUGCAAACUGCAUAAGUCACUGUAUGAAUUAAAAUAGGCUCCUAGGCAAUGGAAUCUGAAGUUAACUUAAGCAUUGGUGGAUAUGGGCUUUGUUCAAUCUCACUAUGAUUAUUCUCUUUUUACACAAAAAAUAGACUCAUAAGUAGUUCUCAUCCUAGUCUAUGUGGAUGAUCUCCUAGUAAUUAGAAGCAGUCUAGCCUUGAUCAAACAAGUCAAAAAAAGUUUGCAAGAGAGAUUUAAGAUGAAAGACCUUGCGAACUCAAAUACUUCCUUGGUAUUGAGUUUUCUAGACCCCAGGAAGGUAUAUUUAUGUGUCAAAGGAAAUAUGCUUUAGAACUAGUGUCAGAGCUAGGCCUAGUAGGUGGAAAGCCAGCAGCUACACCUUUAGAAUUCAAUCAUAAGCUCACAUCCAUUGAAUUUGGCAGGAAGAUGCCAAAUGAUAAUACUACAGUAGAUAAGGAACUUGAAGACAAAUGAGGCUAUCAGAGGCUAGUUGGCAGGUUGUUGUACUUGACCAUGACAAGGCCUGACAUUGCCUUUGGGGUUCAAGUACUCAGUCAGUACAUGCAUGCACCUAAGUUGUCUCACAUGGAGGCUGCCAUAAGAGUAGUAAGGUACAUCAAGACUGCACCUAGCCUUGGUUGUUCAUGCCUGCUAAGGCAUGCAAGCAGUUAGUUGCAUAUUGUGAUUCUGAUUGGGGAGCUUGUGUGGAGACUAGGAGAUCAAUGAUAGACUAUGCAGUAAAAUUUGGUGAAGCGUUGAUAUCUUGGAAAUCCAAAAAUAGGGAACUGUGUCUAAAAAACUCUGUGGAAGCUGAAUUUCAAAGUAUGGCUUCUACGGUAGCAGAGGUGGUGUGGCUAACAGGACUCUUCAAGGAAUUGGGGACUGAUCUAGUGCAACCUAUACAACCUCAUUGGGACAAUAAAACUGCUAUACAAAUUUUCGCUCAUCCUAUCUUUCAUGAAAAAACCAAAUACAUCGAUAUUGAUUGCCAUUUUGUGAGGGAAAAGAUUGUACAAGGCUUAAUUCAAACACGACAUAUCAGAACAACAGGAAACUAGCAGAUCUGAUAACUAAGGGUCUUUGCAAGCCACAACAUGAAUAUCUAUUAGGCAAGCUGGGUAUGAAAGAUUUAUUUCAUCCCUCAGCUUGAGGGGAAGUGUUGAGUAUAGUGGAUCCCAACUAUUUAUGUAUUAACUAUAGUUAGUUGUAACGACGUAGAGUUAGUUAGUUGUACAAAUAUUAAUAGAGUAGUUUACUAGCUUUUGUACUACUAUUCAUUUUCUUCAUGGAAGGUCAAUAAUAGAAUGAGCUUCCUUUCAGUCUUCCUCUCAUUCUCGCACCUUCUAGAACUUACAAUUCUGUCAUAGGUGAAGCUUCUCAACAGUAAACAAUAUUAAUAGAGAUUACAUGUAUUGAUAAAUUAAUGAAAAACACACUUCUUAUUUAUGAUUUCGUAGGUUUGGGGGGGGGGGGGGGAAAGAAAACAUGACAAUUAAAAAUGGACGAACGGAAUAUAUUUUCUUUCAAUGGUGGAAAAUCCAUAGAGUUCAUAUUCAAAACAAUAAACAAUAGGCAUGAAAUAUAGAUUGUGUUAGAAUUUUAAUUUCUCUCUGCUUAAAUGAUCCUUGAGUAUUUAAACAAUUGAAGUGGAUUAGUUAAUUUCAUUUUGUGUUUUCCAAACGUUCUACUGAAAUUUAAAAUACAACAUACAAUUAUUUUACUUCUGUAAAGAAAUUAAAGUCUGUGCAUAUCAAUGAGUAUUAACUACUCCAUCUUACAAGACCUAAACAUCGCUUCCUGUUUAAUUAUUUCUUUUUCUUUUUUCUAGAUAAUCUGGUGAAUAGUAAUACAGCUAGCAAAUCAUGGCUUAUUUAAUUAGCACAUGAUAUUAUUAAUAUUUGUAGGAGUGUAACACAUGUUAUUGCAAUAUAUAAUAGAUUCCUUUUCCCCCGUUUUGUACCAAUUAAUCUCUUGAUAAGUACAAAAUUAGUCACCUUUGCAUUCCACAAAAGUCAACGGCAUUGCGCAUGUUCCAUAUUCGCCAAGAAGCAACCAAAAUAAUAACUUAAGAUCCUUGAUGUUUGGCUCUGAAACAGUAAUCCAUAAAUAGAGACAUAAGGGCUAAUAAACUUUAUUUACAAUUAUACCACUGACAUUCAGGAACUACUUGUAAACUGAAGCAGAGCCAGAAUUUAUUUAUGGCGAUUGUUACAGUGUAUCUUGCUUCAUCUUCAAUGACAAAAGCAAUGGCCAUGCGAAACCAGUUGGUUCAUGACAUUAAAGGCUUUGAAAGGAAACUAGUCUCUCAUCCAAAUUAUUUGACUUGCUGGAGAGUAUGCACUUCUGACUAUGACUGCUCUGAUGCUUGGAUUUGUAAGCAUUGCACCUGGGAUGGUAUUUUUGACAAGCUCAUGUGUUCUAGCUAAUUUACUGUUCAACUGCUUCAGAAUAAAUUCAGCAGAUGGUUGUACGUAGCUUUGAUUAUCUUCCCUUUCCCUGUUCUCGUUGUUUUUAAUUAGAUAUGCUGUUUUGAAUAAUAUUGGAUCCAAUUCCAAUGUCUUGCAAUAACUAUAGCCUAUCCUUGUCACUAACGAACUGCGUACUACUAUAUAUCUUCUUUCUGAAUUUCUUAAUUAUCAACCUCUUUUAUGCUCAUAAUUUUACUUUUAAGCAAUAUUGCAGGUUCAGCUAAAGCGACUAAUAAUUAUGGCUUAAAAUAUAGACAAAUAACCUUUCAUAACAACACUGUUACGGUCGAGCUAAUAAUAUGCAGAGAACGAACAAAUUCAUUGUAUAUAGAUACCCCAAAAAAAAAAGUAACAAGGUAUACUUUCCUCUUGAAUGCCUAAGAAGUGAUGCUUUUAAGAAUAAACAGACAAGGCAAGUGUUUAACUCAAAAAAUAGUUUUAUAGUCAAACCAAUUAAUUUUAUAUUUCAGGGCAUUAAUAAUCAAUUUAAUUUAAUUUUUCAAAUAUAAACAAUAUAAAAAAGAAUAAUAUUUGAGCAAAAUAAUUCAGAGAUAAAAGGAAAGAGAAAUCUUAUUAUGGAGACUUUACGGAAUAGUUAACAUGUACAAGUUGGUUCAGACACUAAUGUGAUGAACCAAAAGGUCAUCACUUGCGUUGCAAGUGAAUUCAGUGUUCCGAGGCCUAAAAACCUCCUUUUUACCUCACCUUAAUUUACGUUUGUGGUCCGGACCUAUAUCCGGAAAGCCUUCUAUACGAUGAGAAAUAGAAAUUUCUAGAGUUAAAAAUUUGAUUAUGGUUGAUAUUGGUUAACGUUUUGAGCAAACGGACCCGGAUCCGUGUUCCGACGAUCCCGGAAGGUCCUCUUUAAAAUUUGGGACUUGGGCGUAUGUCCGAAAAUGAAUUUCGAGGUCCCAAGCCUUAGAAAUUAAUUUUUGAAAGAAAUUAUUUUACUGAAUUAUCUAAAAAAAUGAAGAAAAGAAUUAAUGUUUGAAACUAUUGUUCAGGCCCGUAUUUUGGUUCCGGAGCCCAGUACAAACUUGUUAUAGUAUUUGAAAGACAACUGCGAAAUUUGGUGAAAAACGGAGUUUAUUUGAUGUGAGUUGGACUUCCGGUUGAGGAGUUAUGAACUUUGCGAGUUCUUGAUGAAAAUGUUGAGUUUUGAGGUUUAAUUCAUGAUUUUACAUGUUAUUUUGAUGAUGUGAUUGCACGAGUAGGUCCAUAUGAUGUCUUUGAGUUAGCAUGCACACUUGGUUUGGAGUUCCGAGGGCUCGGGUGAGUUUCGAGUAGAUUCCGGGAUGUCUUAGCCUUAAAACAUGGAUAUUGCAGGUUCAGAGAAGUGCAAAUCUCUGAACCCACCAGUGCCGACCGUACUGGUUUUGGUGCUGUCCGCGGUGGGGGCUGUGCGUCCGCACUCGAUUUUGUGCGGUCCGCACAGGUUCACUUGUCCGACUUCGGAAGCCUAUGUCGUUUGAUCUACUAGGUAUUUUGAGAUGAUUCAAAAACUAAAGUUGUAGCCCUUCGUGUCUAGUUUCCAGAAAGGUAAGGAAAUCACAAUUUGGACAUCUGUAGAGAAAGUUAUGGCCAAAAUACUAAAGCAUGUCACUGCAGUCCACAUGGAGAGCUGUGCGGCCGCACUCGAUUUUGUGCGGUCCACAUAGGAGGUCUGAGAGGGGUAUAUUAAAACGGGAUUUUCAGUUAUUUUUCAUUUUUCAAAACCCUAAAGACAUAAGAGACGAUUUUUCAAACAACCUUUCUUCUCUAAAACAUUGGUAAGUGAUUUCUAACUCAUUUUCUUUAAUUCUUAACUUCUUUUUACAAGAUUUCAUCCUAGAAUCUAGGGUUUUCAUGGUGGAAUUGGGGACUUUGGGAAAAACCUAAGAAUAUUGAAAUUUAGAUAUUUAUACCUCAAAUUGAGGUCGGAUUCCAAAAUAAAUUAUAUAUUUGGGUUCGUGGGGGAAUAGGUAAUCAGGUUUUGGUUUGAACCUCGGAUUUUGACCAUGUGGGCGCGGGGGCGAUUUUUGACUUUUUGGGUAAAACUUUAAAAAACUCAUUUUUAUGCAUUGGGUUGAUUCAUUUAGUGUUUAUUGAUGUAAUUAAGUAACUUGUGACUAGAUACGAGCGAAUUGGUAGUGGAAUCAAUGGGUAAAGCUAUAAUUGAAAUGUGAAUUGUGUUCGUGGCAUCGAGGUAAGUGUUUAGUCUAACCUUAGCUUGAGGGAUUAGGAGUUGUGUCUAUUUGCUACGUGUUAAUUGUGGAGUACGACGCAUAGGCAUGGUGACGAGUAUUAUAUGUCAGUGUCAAGCAUGCCCGUGAGUCUUGUAUUGUAAUUGUUAUAACUCCAUUGUAAAUUAUUGUACUUCACAUGUUAUUGAAAUAUUAUUGUUCCCUUGUCGGGAUGUUAUUGAAAUAUUAUUGUUCUCUUGCCGGGAUACUUUUAUAUUUCUCUUGUUCCCUUGCCGGGAUGUUGUUAUAUUGCUCUUGUUCCCUUGCCAAGAUUCUUUGUGAUUGUUGUUGAUUUGUAACUGGGAUCGGGUGACACGCCUGCCACAAGAUAAAUAAAAUGGGAGCGGGUGUCACGCCUGCCACGAGAUAAAUGAAAUGGGAGCGGGUGGCACGCCUGCCAUGAGAUAAAUGAAAUGGGUGCGGGUGGCACGCCUGUCACGAGAUAAAUGAAAUGGGAACGGGUGGCACGCCUGCCACGAGAUACAUGAAAUGGGAGCGGGUUGCACACCUGCCGUGAGAUAUAUGAAAUGGGAAUGGGUUGCACGCCUGCAACGAGAUACGUGAAAUGGGAGCGGGUUGCACACCUGCAACAUGAUGUGAAAUGAAAGUGAAUUCUACCUUUGUUUCCCUUAUCCUUGUUAGUAGUUGGAUUUUGGUUCCUUUAUAAUUCUCUUGAUAUUCUGUUUUUACCUGUUAUUCCCCAAAGCAUGCUUUCCCCCUCCCAUCAUUACUUUUUUAUUCCUGUUUUACUUUUCGAUGUAUAUUAUAUAACUACACAGGUUUAUUUGGUAGUCUGGUCCUAGCCUCGUCACUACUUCGCCGAGGUUAGGCUAGGCACUUACCAACACAUGGGGUCGGUUGUGCUGAUACUACACUCUGCACUAUGUGCAGAUCCCGGAGCAGCUCUUCGACCGUAGUUUGGAGGCUACCUUCAGUCCACGUGGAGAUCCAAGGUAGACCUUCAAGCGUCUGCAGGCCCUAGCGUCUCCUCUAUCCUUUAUUUCUUGUUUCAUCUCUUUGCUUCAGAAACAGUGUGCCUUUUAUUUUCAAACCUUGUAUUUAGUAGUCUUAGACCGUCUGUGGUACUGUAACACCAGUUCUGGGUGAUUAAGGCUUAAGCUGUUGUAAUAGACACAUGUGCAGAUAUUUUGUUGCUUUCUUCCGCUUAUUCUAAAUUUCCGUUGUUUACAUGCUAUUAUUUUAUAUAAUGUUAAAGAGAAUAAAAAUUGGUAAAAGGGUAAUUUGUAAUUGGCUUGUCUAGCUCACAUUAGUAGGCGUCAUCACGACUCCGAGGGUGGGAAAUUCGGGUCGUGACAAGCUGGUAUCAGAGCUCUAGGUUACAUGAGUCUCACAGUUCACAGACAAGCUUCGUAGAGUCUAAAGGAUCGGUACAGAGACGUCUGUAUUUAUCCCCCAGAGGCUACAGAGUUAGGAAAAUUUCACAUCUAUUCUUUCUUGUCGUGCGUUUUGGUUUCUCAAUGUUAAUUGAAUUUAUACUCUGUUCUUUCGCAGAUGACGAGAAUACGCGCUUCCUCAUCCACUAACUAGCAGCCCGAGCCCCCAGCAGUAGCUCCCAUGAGGGGCAGAGGGCGAGGCCGAGCUAGAGGCCGAGGUAGGGUCCGAGCUCAGCCCAUAGCAGCAGCACCAACAGCGAAGCCUCGGAUUGAUUUUGAUGAUGAGGUUCCGGCUCCAGCAAUUUCGGUGGCCCAGCUCAGGUCCUAGAGGGGUUUAUUGCUACCCCAGUACUUUAGGAUGCUAUGGUCCGUCUAGUGGGCCUUACGGAGAGUGUCACUCGGGCAAGCUUGCUUCCUGUAGCUCCAGUCGUCUCUCAGGCUGGAGGAGGAGCCCAGACUCCUGCUACUCGCACUCCGGAGCAGGUAGCUCCCCAGUUCCGGACUCCAGCAGUUCAGCCAGUUGGAGCAGUUCAGCUCGGUGUGGUGGCUCAGACCAGUGAUGGAGCAGCUAUGUCUGCUGAUGCCCUGUAGAGGUUGGAUAGGUUCACCAAGCUCUUCACUACUACUUUCAGCGGUGCAUCUUCUGAGGAUCCCCAAGAUUAUCUAGACAACUGUCUUGAGGUUCUCAGGAACAUGGGGAUAGUUGAGACCAAUAGGAUCGAUUUUGCUACUUUUCGCUUAUCCGGAUCCGCCAAGACCUUGUGGAGAGAUUAAUGUUUGGCUAGACCAGCCGGAUCGCCAGCUUUGACUUGGGAGCAGUUUACUCAGCUAUUUCUGGAAAAGUUUCUCCCUAUCACUCAGAGAGAGGCCUAUCGGAGGCAGUUUGAGCGUCUCCAGCAGGGUUCUAUGACUGUUACCCAGUAUGAGACCAGAUUCAUCGACUUGGCUUGUCAUGCUCUUAUCAUACUUCCCACCGAGAGAGAGAGAGAGGGUGAGGAGGUUCAUUGAUGGACUUAUUUAGUCGAUUCGUCUUCAGAUGGAUAGGGAUACUGGGAGUAAGAUAUCUUUUCAAGAGGUGGCCAAUGUGGCCUGGAGAGUUGAGAUGGUUCUAUCGCAGGGAGGUGGCCAGGGGUUUGACAAGAGGCCUCAUCAUUCAGGCCGAUUCAGUGGUACCUCGUCUGGAGGUAGGGAUUCAUAUGGUAGAGGCCAUCCUCCUAGGCCUUUUUAGUCAGCACUUCAGGUUUCUCAUGUUGCUUCAGGUGGUCGUGGUUCUUAGAUGCAGUAUUCUGAUAAGCAGUCCUAUAGUGCACCACCAGCUCCUAUCAGUGCACCACUACUUCAGAGUUUCCCGGGUCGUCAGCCCCAGCAGCCGAGGCCUAGUUUUACUUGUUGCGACACGAGGUACAUUGCUAGGUAUUGCCCUCGAGCAUCGAGCAACUCUCAGCAUCAGGGUUCUCGUGCCAUGGUUCAGGCACCGAGUGUUCCACAGCCCGCCCAGCCAGCUAGAUGUGGGGGUAGAGGUGCUAGAGGUGGAGGUAGAGGUAUUAGAGGUGGAGCUCAGGCCGCUAGAGGUGGAGGCCAGCCAGCAGCAGGCCAUCCCAGAGAUGUAAUUCAAGGUGGUGGGGCCCAGCCCCGAUGUUAUGCUCUUCCAGCCAGGCCCGAGGCUGAGGCUUCUGAUACAGUUAUCACUGGUACGGUUCUGGUUUUUAGUAGGGAUGCAUCAGUGUUAUUUGAUCCAGUGUCUACAUACUCAUAUGUGUCAUCUUAUUUUGCACCGUAUCUGGUCAUGCCUAGUGAUUUUUUGAGUGCUCCUAUUUAUGUGUCUACACCGGUGGAUGAUUCUAUUAUGGUAGAUUGAGUCCAUCGUUCAUGUAUAGUUGUGAUUGGAGGUCUUGAAACUCGUGUAGAUUUGCUUCCUCUAGAAAUGGUCGAUUUCGACGUCAUAUUAGGGAUGGACUGGUUAUCACCUUACCACGCUAUCUUGGACUGUCAUCCAAGACUGUGACCUUAGCCUUGCCAGGUUUACCUUGUUUAGAGUAGAGAGGGACUCCUGGUCAUUCUACCCGCAAUGUUAUCUCGUAUAUUAAGGCUCGUCGUAUGGUCUAGAAGGGGUGAUUGGCCUAUUUGGCCUAUGUUCGUGAUUAUAGUGCUGAGGUUCCUUCUAUUGAUUUUGUGCCCGUUGUUCGUGAGUUUCCUGAGGUAUUCCCUUCAGACCUGCCGGGUAGGCCACCCGACAGGGAUAUUGAUUUCUGCAUUGAUUUGGCUCCGGGCACUCAGCCUAUUUCUAUCCCGCCGUAUCGUAUGGCCCUGCCUGAGUUGAAAGAGUUGAAGGAGUAGUUGCAAUACUUGCUUAAGAAGGGUUUCAUUAGACCUAGUGUUUCACCUUGGGGUGCACCGGUGUUGUUUGUUAAGAAGAAUGAUGGAUCGAUGAGACUGUGUAUUGCUUUGUUUGAUCAGCUUCAGGGUGCCAAGGUAUUUUCAAAGAUUGACUUGAGAUCGGGCUACCAUCAGUUGAGGAUUAGGGCAUCCGAUGUCCCUAAGACAGCUUUCCGCACUCGGUACGAGCAUUAUGAGUUCUUGGUGAUGUCAUUCGGGUUGACAAAUGCCCCAUCAACUUUUAUGGAUUUGAUGAACCGAGUGUUCAGGACUUACUUGGAUUCGUUCGUGUUAGUCUUCAUUGAUGAUAUUUUGAUAUAUUCCCGCAGCUGGGAGGAGCACGAGCAACAUCUUAGAGUGGUUCUUCAGACCUUGAGGGAUAGUUAGUUAUAUGCUAAGUUCUCGAAGUGUGAGUUCUGGUUGAGCUCAGUUGCAUUCCUGGGUCAUGUUGUAUCAAUAGAGGGUAUUCAGGUUGAUCCGAAGAAGAUUGAGGCAGUCAAGAACUGGUCUAGACCAGCAUCAGCUACAAAGAUUCAAAGUUUCUUAGGGUUGGCAGGCUACCAUCGUCGGUUCGUGGGGCGGUUUCAUUUAUCGCAGCCCCGAUUACCAGGUUGACCCAAAAGGGUUCCUAGUACAAAUGGUCGGAUGAGUGUGAGGCGAGCUUUUAGAAGCUCAAGACAGCGUUGACUACGACAUCGGUGUUGGUGUUGCCCAUAGGUUCAGGGCCAUAUACAGUUUAUUGUGAUGCAUCUCGUAUUGGGCUUGGUGCGGUGUUGAUGCGGGAUCACAAGGUCAUUGCCUAUGCUUCACGGCAAUUGAAGAUUCAUGAGAAGAAUUAUCCGGUUCAUGAUUUGGAGUUGGCAGCCAUUGUUCACGUUGAAGAUUUUGAGGCAUUAUCUGUAUGGCGUGGCAUGUGAGGUGUUCACGGAUCAUAAGAGUCUGCAGUACUUGUUCAAGCAGAAGGAGUUGAAUUUGAGGCAGAGAAGGUGGUUAGAGCUGUUAAAGGAUUAUGAUAUCACCAUCUUAUAUCAUCCGGGAAAGGCCAAUGUGGUGGCUGAUGCUUUGAGUAGGAAGUCAGCCAGUAUGGGCAGUCUUGCUUAUAUUCCGGUCGGUGAGAGACCGCUUGCUUUGGAUGUUCAGGCUUUGGCUAAUUAGUUCGUGAGGUUAGAUGUUUCUGAGACCAGCCGUGUGUUAGCUUGCACAGUCGCUCAUUCUUCAUUAUUGGAGCGUAUCCGUGAUCGGCAGUAUGAUGAUCCCCAUUUGUGUGUCCUUAGAGACACGGUGCAACACGGAGGUGCCAAGUAGGUUACCUUAGGGGAUGAUGGAGUUUUGAGGUUGAAGGGUCGAGUUUGUGUGCCUAAUGUGGAUGGGCUCCGAGAGUUGAUUUUAGAGGAGGCCCAUAGCUCCCGGUACUCUAUUCAUCCGGGUGCCGCAAAGAUGUAUCAGGAUUUGCGGUAGCAUUAUUGGUGGCGGAGAAUGAAGAAGGAUAUCGUAGCAUUUGUGGCUCGGUGUUUGAAUUGUCAGCAGGUUAAGUAUGAGCAUCAGAGGCCUAGUGGUUUGUUCUAGAAGAUUGAGAUUCCUAAGUGUAAGUGGGAGCGGAUCACUAUGGAUUUCGUUGUUGGGCUCCCACGGACUCAGAGGAAGUUCGAUACAGUGUGGGUUAUUGUUGAUAGACUGACCAAGUCAGCACAUUUCAUUCCUGUGGCAGUCUCAUAUUCUUCCGAGAGGUUAGCUAAGAUAUAUAUCCGGGAGAUUGUUCGUCUUCAUGGUGUGCCCGAGUCUAUCAUUUCGGACCGAGGUACGCAGUUUACCUCACAUUUUUGGAUAGCAGUUCAGCGAGAGUUGGGCACAUGGGUUGAGUUGAGCACAACAUUUCAUCCUUAAAUGGACAGGCAGUCCGAGCGGACCAUUCAAAUUUUGGAGGAUAUGCUCCAAGCUUGUGUCAUUGACUUUGGAGGCUCGUGGGAUCAGUUUUUGCCUUUAGUAGAGUUUGCCUACAACAACAACUACCAGUCGAGUAUUCAGAUAGCUCCUUAUGAGGCUUUAUAUGGUAGGCGGUGUCGAUAUCCGGUUAGAUGGUUUGAGCCGGGAGAGGCUCGGUUGUUGGGUACAUAACUAGUGCAGGAUGCUGAGAACAAGGUUAGGAUCAUUCAGGAUAGGCUUCGUACAGCUCAGUCCAGGCAAAAGAGUUAUGCCGACCGCAAGGUUCGUGAUUUGGCAUUCAUAGUCGGUGAGCGGGUAUUGCUUCAAGUGUCGCCUAUGAAGGGCGUGAUGAGAUUUGGGAAGAAGGUCAACCUUAUCCCUAGGUUCAUUGGCUCGUUUGAGAUUCUUGAUCGAGUGGGAGAGGUGGCUUACAGACUUGCGUUGCCGCCGAGCUUAUCAGCCGUGCAUCUAGUGUUUCAUGUGUCCAUGCUUUGGAAGUAUCACGGCUAUCCAUCCCAUGUGUUAUAUUUUAGCACUGUCCAGUUGGACAAGGACUUUGUCAUGUGAGGAGGAGCCGGUAGCUAUUCUAGACUGGCAAGUUCGUCAGUUGAGGUCGAAGAAUUUCCCUUAUGUUCGUGUUCAGUGGAGAGGUCAGCCUGUUGAGGCAUCGACUUGGGAGUCCAAGUCCGAUAUGCGGAGCCAUUAUCCAUAUCUUUUUCCCGACUCAGGUACUUCUUUCUUAUGUCCGUUCGAGGACGAACGGUUGUUUUAGAGGUGGAGCAUGUGAUGACCCAAAAGGCCAUCACUUGUGUUGCAAGUGAAUUCAGUAUUCCAAGGCUUAAAACCCUCCUUUUUACCUCACCUUGAUAUAUGCGCGUGGUCUGGACCUAUAUCUAGAGAGCCUUCUAUGCGAAAAUAUGAGAAAAAGAAAUUUCUAGAGUUAAAAAUUUGAUAAUGGUUGACUUUGGUCAACAUUUUGAGCAAAUGGACCCGGAUCCGUGUUCCGAUGAUCCCGGGAGGUCCACAGUAAAAUAUGGGACUUGCGCCCGGAAAUGAAUUCCGAGGUCCCAAGACUUAGAAAUCAAUUUGAAAAAAAUUAUUUUACUGAAUUAUCUAAGCUGUCACCUUUGGAGAUAAAUCAAAAGGAAAUGUAAUUGGAUUCGGAAGAGUUCCCCUUAGCUCCACAUGUGAUGUAGACGAAGUGUACCUGUUGAUGAACUUGGUUAUAAUCUUCUCAGUAUCAGUCAACUAUGUGAUAAUGACUAUGAGGUUCGUUUCAAAAAACAUGGUUGGUUCAUUGAAGAUGAAUCAGGUAAAGUUAUUCUCUUUGGAAAUAGGGACAAGAAUGUCUAUACCAUCAGUAACUUAGAUAGUCUUGGUAAUCAAAUCUGUCUAGCUUCUAUGAUUGAUGAUCCUUGGGUAUGGCAUAGAAAACUUGGUCAUGCCAGCAUGCAUAAUAUUCAUACACUUUCCAAAAAUGAUCUUGUCAUUGGUCUUCCAAAAUUGGAUUUUUGCAUUUAUCUCAUCCUCAUCAAAUAUACGUAGAACAAUACCAACCAGAUAAAAGAAAUGCUGAUAAUAGUAACGACAAGUAAAAACAUACAUAAUUAGCAAUAAUGAACAAUGCAAUACAUAUGGACAACAGAAAUGGACUAGGUAGGAGGCAUGACAUUAAUUAGGAAAGAAAAACAUAAUUUCACCUAACUAGCAUGAUAGAAGACAUAGAUGUAGAUAUAAUAAAUAAGAAAGGAAAGCAUGAUCUUUAUAAGCUAACAAAUAGAGGCAUGAAUGACUAACAUGGUAAAAGGCUUAUACUAAAAUGCGACAAAAUAGAAACACCAUGUAUGUGGAUAUAACAGCAGGAAGGAAGGCAUGAUAUGUACAUUUAAACAAAUAAAAGGCAUGAACAGCACAACAACAAUCGAGAUAGAAGACAAAGACUGAACAACAACGACAAGUCACGUAGAUAGCAUAGGUGCAACUGUAAUAACUUCAGGUAAAUGCAUGAUGUACACACAAGGAAAAGAUAUCACAACAUAAGAUAUGUCCCUCGUCCUCACCUGCAUGGAAACACCCUUCAUGCCAUGAACUCAUGAUAAUAUAAAUAAAAUGGUACGGCAUCACCCUUCAUGCUUUUACUCUCAAAUAAAAUAGCACGACAUCACCCUUCGUGCUUUACAUUUUUCUUCACAUGAUAAAAUAUAUGAAAUGGCAUGGCAUCAACCUUCAUGCUUUAUACUCUCCCUCACCAUGAUUUUAUAUAUAUNNNNNNNNNNNNNNNNNNNNNNNNNCUACUACUACUACUACUAUAUAUAUAUAUAUAUAUAUAUAUAUAUAUAUAUAUAUAUAUAUAUAUAUAUAUAUAUAUAUAUAUAUGCAAUGACACGACAUCAUCCUUCGUGUUUUACACUCUUCCUCAUCGAGUAUAUGUAUGUCAAUGACAAGCAAGGUAGGAACUAUAAAUAACAUCAAGGAGAGUGGUCAAACGAAUAUUCCAAAUGAACUUCAAUCACAAUUUCCAAGCCAGCAAUAGUUAAAAAAAACCUUAAGAACCUUACUGUGCAAAUAUUUCAACAAAUCUCAAAAUGAUCUACAACUCAAGUAUAGAAUCUAAUAUCUCAAGAAUAACGGUCGUAACAAUGUAUUGGUGAUUAAGCAUAUUGAUGAUCGAACUAGGCAUAUCAAUAUUUCUCAAAAUUCCAUCAAAUUUUAAUCAAGUUAUAAUAAACUAGAUCUUGGUUUCUAACAUUUAAUUCCAUAUUCUUAGUAAUCUAGAAGUGAAGUAAUACAUGAAACAAGAAGGUCACGUAAUUCUACAAGGCGCAAUUUAUAGUAUAAUUUUUUCCGAGCAUGAUUAAUCCUGGCACACACAUAUAUGUCCGUCACCUCAUAUAUAUAUCACCUCCGCAUGUAGCAAAUAAUGGCAAUAAGUAGGGAAAAACUUUCUCAACAAAGUUAGGUAAGACACUUACCUCAAAUGAGUCAAAUCGAUACCCUAAAAGCGCCAUGCCACUCAAAUCAUCCUCCGAACGGCUCAAAAUUAGUCAAAAGCAACCCAAAAAUAUCAAAUAAGGUAAUAGGAAGCAAACUCAAUCGAUAAAGGCCGAAUCUUUAUACAUUUACUCAAAGUCAACCAAAAAGUCAAACUCGGGCCCGCACCUGAAAAGCCAACCAAACUCAUAAAAUCCGAUAACUCAGUCAAUUACAAGUCCAAUCAUACUAAUUUCACUCAAAUUCGACUAUGAAUCGAUGUUCAAAACUCAAAAAUUCACUUUAGGAAAGUUUAGACAAAAACCUCCAAUUUCUCUUUUGAAAUCAUGAAUCAAAUGCCAAAAAUAAAGAUGAAAUUACGGAAUAUAAUCAAAAUCGAAUAGAAAACACUUAUCCCAAUCCAUGUAAUAAAAAUCGCCUCCAAAAUCAUCCAAAUCCGAGCUCCAUAGCUCAAAAUAUUAUAAAAUGUCCCAAACCUUCGAAAUAGAGUACUUUAUAACAUUGUUCCAGCAAUACUCAUCAUGAUCACGGGAUACCUUUGCGAUCGCGUAGCACAGACGCGACUAUCACCGAAUUACACUUUGCGUUCGUUGUACAGUCCUCACGAACGCGACUCACAGCUGGCUCAGAACUUCGAGAACGCAGCUCCAACUAUGCAAACGCGAUGAAGAAAGCCUCCAGCUCUAGCACUCAGAGCUGUCACACCUCUUCUUUUUUUUCCGCAAGGGAUAUAGAGAGUUUUUUCAAUUAAAGUGACACUAACCGAAAUGAGAUUAUUUAAUUAAUCUCAGAGUCGCCACUUGGAAUAAUUUAUGGUGUCUCAAGUCAUUGAUUUAUUUUAAAAUCUCAAAUCGAGGAAACUGACUCUAUUUUUGGUCCGUGAACACAGAAGACCGGGUAAGAAAUUCCGUUAAUCCGAAAAAAGGUAUUAGGCAUUCCCGGGAUCCGUGGUUUUAGUACGGUCGCUCAACUAUUGAUAAUUGGCCUAAUUAUCUGAUUUAUUACAUGUUUAGAACCUUUUGUGCAUUUUUAACCUUUUAAACCGCUUUUAAUUAUUUAUGAAAUUAUUCCGGGAACAAGUUACGAUGUCGUACACUUGUCGUUUUUGUACACAUUGCAAAUCGCGCCACAUGAAAUGCACCUGCAAUUUACGACAUAUUUAUUUUAUUAUUAUUCGGAGUGGUAGUCGGGUCACAUGAAUUGCACACCCGAAAUGGAAAUUGGGUAUCGUAACCAUGCCACGAGAACCAUCACAUAGCCACGUUAAUUUAUUAUUAAUCGCGCCUAAAGCAAACCACGAUGUUCAUGAGUGAUUAUUUUCCUAAGGUUCGAAUUAUCGAAAUUAUUAUGGGAGAAAUGGUAUGAAUGAUAAGUAUGAAAGACAUGAAAAUGGGCUAGCAAUAUGUAUAUUACUCAGAGCCUUGGCGACGUCAAAUCCGAUAUCAUGUAAAGCCCAACUUCUUUCGAUUGUGAUUAACCCCACCACUCACCAAAAAUUAGCAAAGAUCAUACUGCCACACUUCCUUAACAUUUCAAAUAUGCUCAAACUAAAUUCUAUCUAAAUAAAGCAAACUCAAGCAAUGGAUAAUACUAAACAAAUGCAGUUGUAAAUGUUAUAAAUGAAUUAAAAAUAGCCAUGAUCUAAUCUCCAUAACACCAGACAAAGAUAAAUUCUCAUUUUAGCAUGGAGUAAAUUAAACUAGAUAAAUAUUAUUUACACACCAAUAAGAAAUAAGAUCUGAAAUAAAAUAACAAAGUUAGAAUGUGACCUUAAGCAAAACAACUCGUCUUCUAAUUUAAGAGAAAAUUUUGAGUAUUGCAUAUGUGCACAAGCUAUGGUUGACCAAGAAUAGGAACAAAAUCUGAAACAUGGACUGCGAACCGAGCAAAGCAACUUGCUGGUGAUCUCGACUUAACCGGAAAACUACUCUAGCGGCAUCGAAAAGAACCUCGUCUCAGUAGGAUGAAAGCUUUUUUCUAUACUAGUUGAGUUGCUACGUUUUGCAGUUUUUAUUUAUUUAUUUGGGCAGCAAUUUCAUGGUUUAUGCUGGCAUCACACAACGGAUUUUGGGGGGCUUUGAUGCCGAAUUUCAGUGAUAGAGGGGUAUUUUGGGGAGGUGCCAUUUUUCUCUUUCUUUGGUGGGGUGUGUCGGCUAUGAAAUUUUGAAAAGGGGGAACUUUUUGUGGCUGAAGGUUUUGAGCAGAAGGUGGGUGAAACCUUAGCUCUUUUGGAAAUCUCGUUCUCUGCCUUUUGCUUUUCUUUUUCUCCGUCUCUUCUUUGGGGGUGCUCUUGACUGUUUUUU
RNAcentral lists this long non-coding RNA (60621 nucleotides) under Nicotiana tabacum (common tobacco). RNAcentral's name for it is "long non-coding RNA (NTAB_LNC010920)". Lineage: Eukaryota; Viridiplantae; Streptophyta; Magnoliopsida; Solanales; Solanaceae. The record is from RNAcentral.